AGUUUUCCAAAUUAAGCGAGCAUAACUUCGACAAGAGUUGACAGGCUGAAAAGGCGAGUUCUACAAUGUUCACACGAGUGGCACGAAAAGACAACAAUCCAGUAUAGUACAUCACAUAACAGUAGCUUAAUCCAACUUAAAAAGGAAAGUAAAGAACUGAUGCCAUAAAUUGUAAAACAUAGAAUGAUUCAUCCUCUGACCCUUAACUGCUAAAGCUGGAACUUUGCCAUAGUAUGGCACAUAGAAUAGGCUGCGAUAUUUUCGGGUGAAGCUUCUUGGAAUCUUUUGGGACUGUGAGCGUUUACCAGUACUGAUGCUAGCUGAGAUGAUCUUAUCACCAAUUUUGUCCUCAAGGAUAACCAGCUCCCUCUCUAGGUCAACGGCCAUGAUUUUAUAUUCGAAAACCCAGUAUCCUUCACGGUCAGUGCGGAGAAAAAUGUCUCUGCCAAAUAUAUCAACCAUACUUACACGAUGCCUCACCGCCCACCCAUCAGGGACUUCCAAACUCCAAAUCCGUAUUGCGCAGCCAUCAAAUUCUUGUUUCGCGUAGCAUAAGACACCCGAAGACUGGCCAAUACAUCCAUUAGAACAGAAAGUCAUUUUGGACCUAUUCGGAUAUCCUGGCAGCUGAAUGAUCCUAUGAUCGAGCCACUUCGUACUUCUAUCAGGUGCGUCAAGCGCCAGAAUUUUAUGAGCCAAUAGGUGCUUCAUGUACAACACCCCAUUUACAAAGAGCGGAUCACCUUCAAAUCCAUCUCCAUAUUCCCAAAGACAACUAGACCACCAAAGACAACUAGACCACGUGGAAUCCUCAGAGAAAAAUACCUUAACUUCAGUGGAGGUUCCAAUUAUAUGAGGGCCCAGGACCGCGCUCGACUGAAAUUUGAAGACACAGAAGUGUUGAGACCAUAAUGGAUCAAAACACAACUUGAGAUUAGCUGAAAAGACCGAUGGUCCAGGUUCAGUAUCUGGAAGUGCCAUCCACUCUUGAGUUGCUGGAUUGCACACAAUAGCUUGGAAAUUUCUUCAAUUCUAUUUUUCUGAUAACAAAGAAGUAGGCCAUUGCAGCAACCCCGAAGCAGUAUUGGGUACUUAUAACAUGGCACAAAGCUAAGUGUUGUGUCAAUUUCCUUGUCACUUGAGGGCAGUCUGGCGAGAUGGAUGCCACUACCAAGAGAGGAGGCAAGUCUGCCACGCUCAAAUUUCUGGUACAAGAGACCAGUGGGAGUUCUUGGGAACUUUUGUCGGUAGUAUGGAUGAGAUGAGAAGGCAAGCCAAGACUUGCAGACACAUUUGAAGCGGCACAGGGACUUCAGCCGCAGUCGAGACAGGAUGUCCACCACCAGCUCAUUAGGUAGUACACAUGUGGACAUCCCCAAUCUAUGAUCUGAACUUAUUUGCACCAAAAGAAAAGAAAAUAAUAGAUGAUAUAAAACUGGGGAACAAUAAAGUACGUGUGUAAACGCCAUCUGAACCCAAAAAUUAAAACUCAAGCGAAGUUUCACCCUCCAAAAAACAAUGAAUGCACAUUUUUCUGUUGGUCCGGUUCAAUGCUUAAAUUAGUAAAUAAGUGGGCCUUGAAACAUUUUUUAUCAUGUUCAUGCCUUAUGACAAUGACACGGUUGUGUAUAUGGAAGAACAUAUUUGGUAUGGGCUUAUGGCCUACACUGAGUGGGUCACAGGGAUUCACUAUGAAAGAACAGAUUUGGUAUGGGCUUAUGGCCUAUGAUGAGUGGGUCACAGGGAUUCAUCGUUUGGUUGACACAGGGAAACUGCUAUCUAGUAGUUGUGUGCAAGAUAAAAUGAAAUCACUAUAAGUUUUUUCAAUGAUUACAUCGCCAUCCAUUUCACAACUAGUUGGCAAUGGUGACAACAUAAUACACAUGUUGCUAUAAUGCACCUUGAAAAACAAUGUGAUUUGAUAAAAAGGGAAAAGAAAGUACCUUCAGGAUCUAUAAUCCCAACGACCUAUCAGACGCCGUCAGAAGCUGAGAUAGGUGCUAACUUGUGAGAUAAGACAGGGAAAGUCAAGAAUAUCAUCGUAUCCAUCUUUAGUGCGACUGACCAACAGAAACGAACUCAUCAGACAUCAGAUCAUGUAUAUGCUCCUAACCACGACUUCCUUUGGCAUCACGAAGACGACAGGAUGAGGGAAAUCCGUCAAUUUACAGGAUGGCACACCAACUGGCGAAACGGAUGGCGUUGAGAUCUAGGUUGCAUCUGCGACGAGCUCAGAUUAGAAACAACACACGGGGACAAAUAUGUGGCAUAGACACCAAGGAGAGGAAGAGGAACGGGAGCUCACCGCGUAAUGGUUGCUUCGGGUCGUCGGCGAGUACGGUCGGCCAGGCGGCAAGCGGAAACAAGGCUGCGGAGGUGAGGCAGCAACGCAGGAUUUGGAGGUGGGCGCAACGUAGUGCCUAGAGAGAAGGGGGAUAGGUGAGGAUGUGUUGAAUCUAAAUCAAGGGAAGAAGUAAAGCGAGUGCUCGAGGCCCUUCUAGAGAUAAAGGGAUAAGGGAAAGCACGCGGGACCACAUCGACACAUGUUUUGUAUGUGAGGUGGCUGACGCCAGCGCUUUUGUCACCCCGCCGAACAAAAUUAUUUUCCUUUAGAAAAAAUAAUAAUAAUCUCACUUGAAAACAACAUUGGGAGUCGCUAGGGUGAUAUUUUCUCCGUUGGCUAUCUCUCCAGCCAUCCAUUGUACUUAAAUGGUAAGUUUUGGAUCCCUACGUUGUAACACUAAACACCCAAAUAUGAAAUAGUUAGAAUAUUUCCCCCCAUGAACCUAUAAAAAUGUAUUCAUAGAAUUGCAACAUUUAAAACAUGCCCACAAAAAAUAUAGGACAUUAAAAAGGGUCAAAAUAGCAUGAACACAGGCAACAUAAAAAAUCAAUGUAAGAAAUACAAGCACAACACAUACAAUAACGAAGAAAACAUUUGUAACAUAAUUGCAAUCCCUUCGUGACAGAAGUCUGGAGUCAUUUACAAAAUCUCAUUAAUGUUUAUGCAGUAAACAACCUAUGCGCAAAAAACCCGCUUAACGCAUGUCCGACCAGCUGAAAGGAUCGAAGUCUCAAAGAUAUCAAGAGGGGUAUUGAAUAGGCAACUAUAAAUUUUUACAAAAUCAUUGAUUUAAGGAAGUGUGGAAUUGCAAGUUCACUACCAUGAAACUAUGUGAUUCAUACUAUAUGACAAGGGUGUCAAACAUGAUGAUCUCGUUGCGUGUGUAUAGACAUGUACAAGGCAUAUACAGGAAGGGAGAUCAACACCGCCGGAGUAGUUAGUUAGCUAAAGUCUUUUAUAUCUUUAUCUCCUCUUAUCCCUAGUUUUAUUCCUUUGCAAGAUGUAUCUAUCUCAACAACCUGUACGCGUACUUGGGCUCACAACCCUUCUAUUUAACACGCAAAACGUCGGCCAUGAAGGCUAAGACGUUUACUGCAAGUCGCACAUGGUAUACAGAGCCUUCUUCUUCCACCAAAAACCCUAGCUAAUCCAUCUCCAUCAAGUGCGUAGCCAUGUCUUCCUCCUCCGCCUCCUUCCAGUUGCCGCUCAGCGGUGGAGUCCCGGAGAAGCUCUCCCGCACCAACUACGUUCUGUGGCGGACCCAGAUCACACCGCAGUUGCGGGGCGCCGACGUCUUCCACUACGUCGACGACACGGUGACUGAGCCGGCCAAGGACUGUUGGGGAACAUAGUAAUUUCAAAAAAUUUCCUACGCACACGCAAGAUCAUGGUGAUGCAUAGCAAGGAGAGGGGAGAAUGUUGUCCACGUACCCUCGUAGACCAAAAGCGAAAGCAUUAGCACAACGCGGUUGAUAUAGUCGUACGUCUUCAUGAUCCGGCCGAUCAAGUACCGAACGUACGGCACCUUCGAGUUCAGCACACGUUCAGCUCGAUGACGUCCCUCGAACUCCGAUCCAGCCGAGUGUUGAGGGAGAGUUUCGUUAGCACGACGGCGUGGUGACGAUGUUGAUGUUCUACCGACGCAGGGCUUCGCCUAAGCACCGCUACAGUAAUAUCGAGAUGGACUAUGGUGGAGGGGGGCACCGCACACGGCUAAGAGAUCAAACGAUCAAUUGUUGUGUCUAUGGGGUGCCCCCUGCCCCCGUAUAUAAAGGAGCAAGGGGGGUGCGGCCGGCCAGGGAGGAGGCGCGCCAGGAGGAGUCCUACUCCCACCAGGAGUAGGACUCCCCCUCCCCCUUUCCUAGUUGGAUUAGGACUUGGGGGAGAGUGGAGGAGAAGAAGGAAGGGGGGCGCCGCCCCCUCUCCUUGUCCUAUUUGGACUGGGGGGAGGGGCACGCGGCCCAGCCCUAGCCACCUCUCCUCUCUUCCACCUAGGCCCACUAAGGCCCAUUAAGUCCCCGGGGGUUCCGGUAACCUCCCGGUACUUCGGUAAAAUCCCGAUUUCACCCGGAACACUUUCGAUAUCCAAACAUAGGCUUCCAAUAUAUCAAUCUUCAUGUCUCGGCCAUUUUGAGACUCCUCGUCAUGUCUGGGAUCACAUCCGGGACUCCGAACAACCUUUGGUACAUCAAAACAUAUAAACUCAUAAUAUAACCGUCAUCGAAACUUUAAGCGUGCGGACCCUGCGGGUUCAAGAACUAUGUAGACAUGACCGAGACAUGUCUCCGGUCAAUAACCAAUAGCGGAACCUGGAUGUUCAUAUUGGCUCCCACAUAUUCUACGAAGAUCUUUAUCCGUCAGACCGCAUAACAACAUACGUUGUUCCCUUUGUCAUCGGUAUGUUAUUGCCCGAGAUUCGAUCGUCGGUAUCUCAAUACCUAGUUCAAUCUUGUUAUCGGUAAGUCUCUUUACUCGUUAUGUAAUACAUCAUCCCACAACUAACUCAUUAGUAGCAAUGCUUGCAAGGCUUAAGUGAUGUGCAUUAUCGAGAGGGCCCAGAGAUACCUCUCCGAUAUUCGAAGUGACAAAUCCUAAUCUCGAAAUAUGCCAACCCAACAAGUACCUUCGGAGACACCUGUAGAGCACCUUUAUAAUCACCCAGUUACGUUGUGAUGUUUGGUAGCACACAAAGUGUUCCUCCGGUAAACGGGAGUUGCAUAAUCUCAUAGUCAUAGGAACAUGUAUAAGUUAUGAAGAAAUCAAUAGCAACAUACUAAACAAUCGGGUGCUAAGCUAACGGAAUGGGUCAUGUCAAUCACAUCAUUCUCCUAAUGAUGUGACCCCGUUAAUCAAAUGACAACUCAUGUCUAUGGUUAGGAAACAUAACCAUCUUUGAUCAACGAGCUAGUCAAGUAGAGGCAUACUAGUGACAAUCUGUUUGUCUAUGUAUUCACACAUGUAUUAUGUUUCCGGUUAAUACAAUUCUAGCAUGAAUAAUAAACAUUUAUCAUGAUAUAAGGAAAUAAAUAAUAACUUUAUUAUUGCCUCUAGGGCAUAUUUCCUUCAAGGACCUCACCAGCAAGGACGCCGCUGGCAAGGAGACCAUCGAGCCGAAUCCCCUUCAUCCACUUUGGGUGAAGAAGGACCAGCAGGUCCUCGGAUACCUGCUCCAAAACCUCUCCAAGGAGGUGCUCGUCACGGUGACCACGAUCACCACGGCGCGCGAGCUCUGGGUGGCACUAGCGAGCAUGUUCUCGUCACAGUCACUCAGUUGCGAAGAGAAAUCAAUCGGUGGCCUCCUUCUUCGCCGCCAUGAGAGGUCUCGCAGAUGAACUCGCCGCGGCGGGCAAACCCAUCCAAGAUGACAAGCUCAUGUCCUACAUCAUCCACAGGUUGGACUAAGACUAUCAACCCCUUGUCUCCGCACUGGAUGCUCAUGUCACCCCGGUAACUCUUGAUGAACUUUUUGCCAUGCUCAGUAACUUUGAUCAACGCAUGGCGCAGUACCAAGGCUCCGGUGGUGGCUUCAAAUCGUAGGCCAACUCUGUGUUCAGAGGACGCGGUGGUGGCUCUCGCUCACGCCCAUCUCCCCGUGGCAAGGGGAGGUUCGGCUCCAACGGUGGUGGCUACUCCAACAACUCGCGCGGCGGCGGCCGCUUGGGAAACUCCAAAGGGUGUCGUGGUGGUGGCUCCAACAGAUCCCGCCCGGAUUUUCCCCACUGCCAACUUUGUGGCAAGCCAGGACAUACGACAAAGUAUUGUUGGUACCCCUACAAAGAAGAUGAUGGUAACUCCUCGCAAGAUGAAGAGAAAGUUGCCGCUGCGGCCGAUGGCUCCUAUGGAGUUGACACAAACUGGUACGUUGACAGCGGCGCCACCAACCACAUCACCAACGAGCUCGAGAAAGUCACCAUGAAGGAGAAGUAUCGUGGCAAGGAUCAAAUUCACACGACCAGUGGUGAAGGUAUGGGCAUACGUCACAUUGGCCAUUCAAUUUUUAAUACCCCUAGUCGUAAAAUUCAUCUCAAAAGAAUCUUGCAUGUUCCUAGUGCCCAUAAAAAUCUUCUCCCCGUUCAUAGAAUUGCCAUUGACAAUCAUGUUUUUCUCGAGUUUCAUCCUUAUUUCUUUUUGAUCAAGGAUCAGGCAAUGAGGAAAGUUCUCUAUCGAGGUAGAUGUGUUCGAGGGCUCUACCCGUUGAUUCCGGAGUUUAGAAGAUUCAAUAAACAAGCUUGUGGUGCUAUCAAGCUUUCGUCCACACGAUGGCACGAUCGUUUAGGCCAUGGCUCUUUUUCUUUGGUUGAAAAAUUACUUAGGAAAAAUAAGCUCCCAUUUGUUGGUGAGCGAAACAUUGAAACUAUUUGUCAUUGAGGGAGUCCUGGAUUAGGGGGUAUCCGGACAGCCGGAUUAUAUCCUUUGGCCGGACUGUUGAACUAUGAAGAUACAAGAUUGAAGACUUCGUCCCGUGUCCAGAUGGGACUCUCCUUGGCGUGGAAGGCAAGCUUGGCAAUACGGAUAUGUAGAUCUCCUUCCUUGUAACCGACUCUGUGUAACCCUAGCCCCCUCCGGUGUCUAUAUAAAACCGGAGGGUUUAGUCCAUAGGACCAACAACAACAAUCAUACCAUAGGCUAGCUUCUAGGGUUUAGCCUCUCUGAUCUCGUGGUAGAUCAACUCUUGUACUACUCAUAUUAUCAAGAACAAUCAAGCAGGACGUAGGGUAUUACCUCCAUCAAGAGGGCCCGAACCUGGGUAAACAUCAUGUCCCCUGCCUCAUGUUACCAUCCGCCUUAGACGCACAGUUCGAGACCUGCUACCCGAGAUCCGCCAGUUUUGACACCGACAUUGGCGCUUUCAUUGAGAGUUCCUCUGUGUCGUCACCGUUAGGGUUGAUGGCUCCUUCGAUCAUCGAUAGCGAUGUAGUCCAGGGUGAGACUUUUCUCCCCGGCCAUAUCUUUGUAUUCGGCGGCUUCGCACUGCGGGCCAACUCGCUUGGCCAUCUGGAGCAGAUCGAGAGUUACGCCCCUGGCCACUAGGUCAGGUUUGGAAGUUUAAACUACACGGCCGAUAUCUGCAGAGACUUGAUCUUCGACGGAUUCGAGCCCCUGCCGAGUGCGCCGCAUGGUCACGAUGAGCAUGAUUUAGCUCUACCAUCGGACGGUGUUUAGGAAACCGCACCGGCAACCGCUCUGACCCUCAAUUCGGAGGCAAUUGCGCCAUCCAUGGACGGGUGGAUAGACCCCGCCACGGAGGCCGUAUUCUCAGCGGUGAUCGAGCCGAGCGUUGACCUUACCCUUCACGGGAGCCGUGAUGCCGAACUGCCGGAUUUUUCCCCGGCCACGGACUCCGAACCGCCUGCGCCCGUGCCUAUCGAAUCCGACUGGGCGCCGAUCAUGGAGUUCACCUCCGCGGAUAUCUUUCAGCACUCGCCCUUCGGGGACAUACUGAACUCAUUAAGGUCUCUCUCCUUGUCAGGAGAGUCCUGGCCGAACUAUGUCCGGCAGGAUUGGGAUGCGGAUGACAAAGAAAUUCGCCGCCCACCCACCACCCACUUAGUAGCCACUGUCGAUGAUUUGACCGACACGCUCGACUUCGACUCCGAAGACAUCGGCGGUAUGGACGACGAUGCGGGAGACGAACAGGAACCACUGCCCACAGGGCACUGGACAGCCACCUCAUCAUAUGAUAUAUACAUGGUGGACACACCCAAAAAAGGCAAUGGCGACGGGACAGCGGAGGAUGACCCCUCCAAGAAGCAACCCAAGCACCGACGUCAGCGGCGCCGCUCUAAGUCUCGCCAAGGCAAAAGUGGUGAUACCGGCACAGGAGAUAAUAGCACUCCGGACAGUGCCGAAGAUGACAACAAUCCCUUCCAGCAAGAUUUAGAGCAGGAGGAUGGAGAAGCCAGCCCUCCCGAGAGAGCGGCAGAUGGAGAGGCGGAGGAUGAUAAUUACAUGCCUCCCUCCGAAGACGAGGCAAGCCUUUAUGAUGACGAAUUUGUCGUGCCUGAGGAUCCCGUCGAGCAAGAGUGCUUCAAGUGCCGGCUUAUAGCCACGACAAAUAGCCUUAAGAAAAAGCAACAGCAGCUUCAAGCUGAUCAAGAUUUACUAGCUGACAGAUGGACUGAAGUCCUUGCGGCCGAGGAAUAUGAACUCGAACGCCCCUCCAAGAGUUAUCCAAAGCGCAGGUUGCUACCCUGACUGGAGGAGGAAGCAUUAAAACCUACAUCUCCAGCGUAUGAUGCGACUGAUCGGCCACCUCGUGGCCGCGACAGAGAGGCAUUUCAGCCAAAAGCUCAGCCCGCACCCCGACGCCACUCAAAUAAAAAUGUCAAGGCAUGGGGAAACACGCUAGACCUGCAAGACGUAUUGGAGGACAAAGCAAAACACGCAAGAUCGAUCUACGGAUCACGAGGGCGCGCCACUACGCGAGACGAUAACCGUCACGCCGGAUACAGUAAAAGCAAAUCCGGCCGGACCGAACACAGCGGACAAGACUCAUUUGAGUUGCGUCGCGAUAUAGCCCAGUACAGAGGCGCCCCACACCCCCUAUGCUUCACAGACGAAGUAAUGGAUCACCAAAUCCCAGAGGGUUUCAAACCCAUAAAUAUCGAAUCAUACGACAGCACAACAGAUCCUGCGGUAUGGAUCGAGGACUUCCUCCUGCACAUCCACAUGGCCCGCGGUGACGAUCUACACGCCAUCAAAUACCUCCCACUCAAACUCAAAGGACCAGCUCGACAUUGCCUCAACAGCCCGCCAGCAGAAUCCAUUAGCUGUUGGGAAGAUCUGGAAGCCGCAUUCCUAGACAACUUCCAGGGCACUUAUGUGCGGCCACCAAAUGCCGAUGACUUGAGCCACAUAAUUCAGCAGCCAGAGGAAUCAGCCAGGCAAUUUUGGACACGGUUCCUAACAAAGAAAAAUCAAAUCGUCGAUUGUCCGGAUGCAGAGCCCUAGCAGCUUUUAAGCACAACAUCCGCGACGAGUGGCUCGCCCGAUACCUUGGCCAGGAAAAGCCGAAAUCUAUGGCAGCCCUCACGACACACAUGACCCGCUUCUGCGCGAAGAGGACAGCUGGCUGGCUCGAAGCAAUAACAUAUCAAAGAACCAUGGUACUUCGGAUACCAAGCAGAGCAAUGGCAGGUCACGUCGCAACAAACACAAGCGCCACAUCAACAACGACAAUACCGAGGACACGACAGUCAAUGCCGGAUUCAGAGGCUCUAAACCCGGUCAGCGGAAAAAGCCAUUCAAAAGAAGCACUCCGGGCCCGUCCAGUUUGGACCGUAUACUCGAUCGCUCGUGCCAAAUACACGGCACCCUCGACAAGCCAGCUAACCACACCAACAGGGAAUGUUGGGUGUUCAAGCAGGCCGGCAAGUUAAAUGCCGAAAACAAAGACAAGGGGCUACAUAGCGAUGACGAGGAAGAGCCCCGGCCGCCGAACACCAGAGGACAGAAGAGGUUCCCCCCACAAGUGCAGACGGUGAACAUGAUAUACGCAACCCACAUCCCCAAGAGGGACCGGAAGCGUACGCUAAGGGACGUAUAUGCGUUGGAGCCAGUCACCCCAAAGUUCAACCCAUGGUCCUCCUGUCCAAUCACCUUCGAUCACAGGGACCACCCCACUAGUAUCCGUCAUGGUGGAUUCGCUGCACUAGUCCUAGACCCAAUCAUUGACGGAUUUCACCUCACUCGAGUCCUUAUGGACAGCGGCAGCAGCCUGAACCUGCUUUAUCAGGACACAGUGCGCAAAAUGGGUAUAGAUCCCUCAAGGAUCAAACCCACAAAAACGACCUUCAAAGGCGUCAUACUAGGUGUAGAGGCCCAUUGCACAGGCUCAGUCACACUGGAAGUGGUCUUCGGAUCCCCGGAUAACUUCCAAAGCGAGGAGUUAAUCUUCGAUAUAGUCCCGUUCCGCAGUGGCUACCAUGCACUGCUCGGGCGAAUCGCAUUUGCGAGAUUCAAUGCGGUACCGCAUUAUGCAUACCUCAAGCUCAAGAUGCCAGGACCUCGGGGGGUCAUCACAGUCAAUGGAAACACAGAGCGCUCUCUCCACACGGAGGAGCACACUGCGGCCCUCGCAGCAGAAGCACAAAGCAGCCUCUUAAGGCAAUCCACCAGUUUGGCGAUUAAACACCCGGACACCUUCAAGAACGCCCGGAGUAAUCGGCAACAAGACCGCCUGGCACGUUCCGAGCUUGCAUAGCAAUGCGGCCCCCACCCCAGUCCCAGCCAAACGGUGAAAUCCGUGCCACGCGUACAUAAUUAUGCAUUGAAAAUACCAUGGGCAUAGGGGGGAGGGGGGCACGACUACGGCACGCCCCAAGACGCGGCUCAACCGCACUAGGGGCUUCCCGCUUUGUUAUUUUUCUCUCUUUCAGAACUUUACUCUCUGGAAACCCCGUCCGGUAGUUUGAUUGCCAGACACACGAUGCAACAACCAAGGAGGCAGAAAGCUACGUCGCACCAUGGAACUCCCAGGUGGUCUCUGAUAACGAGUAAAAUACCUGCUUUAAAUACCAUUCCCCAGCUUGCCCUUGGAGGGGACAUGUCAAAUAGUCCUACUUUUUGCUUAUCGCACUACUUGUAUCAUUCUGCUUCGACACACCUUUUUGAAUAAACAAUGCAUAGCGAUAGACUAUUACCGCAUUCUCUAUUCUUUUUUUAUAUAUGUUCAUUCAUGACAUUCGGCUCCCGUACACUCUGGUAUAGCCCAUACGCCAGGGGCUUAAGCGUACCCCAUAAUACGGCGUGAGAAGUCCGAACACUUUCGACAGUGCGGCACCCCGAACUUAUAGCAUUAUAUGCAUCAGCUCCGAAUCAUGUCUUGGGUCAAUAGUUGGCUUUUCCCGGCUCCCAUGUUUUGGUACCUUAUGUUCCGCUAUAUCGGCUAAGGUAGCACUGGGAGAACUACUGCGAUUGUGCCCCGGUUCAUCUGGGCUAAGCACCUCAGUAGAGAAAGCUAAAAUUGACUGUCAUGAUAAUGCGAGAGCUGGUCGCUGUUCGAGAGGUCUCGAGUCCCUAAAGACUUAUGCCGCUUAGAGCGAGGAGUCGGCUUUGUCCGGCUUAAGGCAUGUAUAGCGCCCCGAAUUCGGCCUUCCGAAUACUAGGGGCUUCGCCAAAAUUUAAAAUUAUAGACUUCUAUGGCUAAGUGAGAGCGGUAAAGCAUUAUAGUCCGAUUGCCUUGUUUGUUGUGCUGAGCACCUCCCUCGAAGGACCCAACAAUGGGAAAAAGAGUGCUCAGAUUUAACCCGAACACCGAGCACUCGUGGCAUGGGGGCAGAUGCCGACGACUGGCCAUCUCUCAGAUUUAAUAAACAGCCACACACAAGGUAAUAUUUUAAAUUCAAACAAGCGUUGCAUAGCGCAUAUGAACAAGUUUUCAUAAUACAGGAUCCCACGAGCAAGUUCAUUCAAAAAUUACAUCCUUCGCACACUCGUCCGCCACAAGACGGGCACCCUUUAGGACACCCUCAUAAUACAUCUUAGGGUGGCGAUGCUCCUUGCCCUGCGGCGGCCCCUCCUUCACCAGCUUCUCGGCGUCCAUCUUGGCCCAGUGCAACUUCACACGGGCAAAGGCCCGGCGUGCACCUUCGUUGCAGACGGACCGCUUUUAUGACUUCCAGUCAUGGGCAGGCAUCCACAAGCCGCCUCACCAAGCCGAAGUAGCUAUUGGGAAGGGAGUCGCCAGGCCACAUCCGGACUGUAAGGCCCCUCAUGGCCUGUUCGGCCGCCUUGUGCAGCUCGACCAGUUGCUUCAGCUGGUCGCUCACAGGCAUCGGGUGUUCGGUCCCAGUAUACUGAGACCAAAACAACUUCUCCGUCGAGCUUCCCUCCUCGGCCCGAUAGUACUUUGCGGCAUCCGACAUGCUGCGGGGCAAAUCUGCGAAUGCUCCUGGAGAGCUCCGGACUCGGGUAAGUAAUAAGUAAUUUACUUUCACAUGCUUGCUUUGCAUAAUGAAUGCCUUACUCGCCGCUAUCUUCCUCAUCGCCUCAAUUUCCUGGAGGGCCUUUUGGGCUUCACCCUGGGCAUACUUUGUGCUCUCGAGGGCCGCGGCAAGCUCGGACUCUCGCGUCUUCGAGUCAAGCUCCAAAGUCUCGUGCUUAUUCACGAGAGCCUCGAGCUCUUGCUGCACCUCGCCCACCCGUGCCUCUUGUUUCUCCCGCUCGGUGCACUCCUUGGGCGCUUUGUUUUCGGCGUCGGACAGUGUUUGCUUCAGGGUCGCCACUUCGGUCGUGGCCCCUGGCACAUCCAUGAUGAUCCUAUCAUUUUGCAACCACAUCUUAUAUAUAUAUAUAGACAAGGUAUUACUUACCUUUGUUCUCCUCGAGCUGCCUCUUGGCAAGGCCGAGCUCUUUCUCGGACCGCUCGAGGUUCUGCUUCAGUGCGGCGACCUCCACAGUCAGUGCGGCAGAGGUCAGCAGCGAAACCUGCAUACGCAUAUAGACAUACUUAUAUUAGACUCCUGCAGAUAUUAUUUGAUCCUCUAUUCGGCUUUUCUUUGUGAACACCAAACAGAGCAUUAGGGGCUACUGUCUAUGCGGUAAUAUUUUCCUAUAUUUUAAAUACUUACCUCAAAGCUUGUUAGAAUGUUGGUGUCGGUGUCAAAACCGGCGGAUCUCGGGUAGGGGGUCCCGAACUGUGCGUCUAAGGCGGAUGGUAACAGGAGGCAAGGGGCACAAUGUUUUACCCAGGUUCGGGCCCUCUUGAUGGAGGUAAAACCCUAUGUCCUGCUUGAUUAAUAUUGAUGAUAUGGGUAGUACAAGAGUAGAUCUACCACGAGAUCAGAGAGGCUAAACCCUAGAAGCUAGCCUAUGGUAUGAUUGUAUGUUGUCCUACGGACUAAAACCCUCCGGUUUAUAUAGACACCAGAGAGAUUGGGGUUACACAAGGUCGGUUACAAAGGAGGAGAUACACAUAUCCGUAUUGCCUAGCUUGCCUUCCACGCCAAGUAGAGUCCCAUCCGGACACGAGACGAAGUCUUCAAUCUUGUAUCUUCAUAGUCCAACAGUCCGACCAAAGUAUAUAAUCCGACUAUCCGGAGACCCCCUAAUCCAGGACUCCCACAGUAGCCCCUGAACCAGGCUUUCAAUGACGAUGAGUCCGGCGCGCAGUAUUGUCUUCGGCAUUGCAAGGCGGGUUCCUCCUCCGAAUAUACCACGGAAGAAUUUGAAUACAAGGAUAGUGUCCGACCCUGCAAAAUAAGUUCCACAUACCGCCGUAGAGAGAAUAAUAUUGCCACAAAUCCAAUUUGCUGACUUGUUUUGGCAACACGACAUUAUGUCAUGGCCCGGUGAUUACUCAAAUCGUUUCCUUUAACUAGCCCCGCACAUAACGCGAGGCAGUUUUUUGACAUGUCUUAUCAAAGCAGAGAUCGUGUCCCCUUAUCACGGGAUUGUCAUCAAUACGGGUGUGGGUAACCCAACCGCGCCAUUGAUUACGGCUCUUGGGGGAUAAGCGAGUUUUACCAGGCUAGUGGGGACGCUUAGUUUCGUUCGUCCAUAUAAAGGGAUAAGGAUUCACCUUUUCAUCCAUGCCUUCUUCCUCCUUUGCUCAUCCGUUUUCGCACACUCGAGCUCUAGCACCCAAGUCCACAUCCCUUCCCUCAACCUUCUCCAAACAUGUCCGGAGCGGGAGGCAGAUGGAUGGCUUACUCCGUUACGGAGGGACAUAUCAAGAAGCUGCGCAGAGCCGGAUACUUAGCCGCGAAUAUCACGCAUCGGCUGCCCGCUGCGGGGCAGAUCAUCCCUACCCCGGAACCUCACGAGAGGGUAGUUUUCCUCCACCACUUCCUCCGCGGACUGGGGUUUCCCCUCCAUCCAUUCGUCCGUGGUCUCAUGUUCUACUACGGGCUGGACUUUCAUGAUCUGGCCCCGAACUUCGUCCUCAACAUUUCGGCAUUCAUCGUCGUGUGUGAGGCUUUCCUCCGCAUCUGGCCCCACUUAGGCCUAUGGUUAAAGACCUUCAAUAUCAAGUCAAAGGUGGUAGGAGGCCAACAAGCAGAGUGCGGCGGAGCCAUGGUGGGCAAGAUGCCCAACGUUAUAUGGCUUGAAGGCUCCUUUGUGGAGACAAUAAAGGGAUGGCAAUCGGCGUGGUUCUACAUCACCGAGCCGCGCGACGCCAAAUGGGCGGCGGCCCCCGAGUUUCGAUCCGGAUUCCCUACAUGGCUCACUUCUUGGAAAGAGAAGGGCUUGUCGUGGGGUUCAUCGGUGGAGCUAGAUGGACUCCAGAAAUGUAUCCGGAGUAUGGCAAGAAAGAAGCUCAAGCUUGUCAACAUAGUCCAGGUUAUGCUCAUCCGCCGGAUCCUCCCGUGUCAACAACGGGAUUUUAACUUGUGGGAGUUCGACCCGGCCCAGCACCAGACUCUGAGCGAGCUCUUCGAUAUGAUGCACAAGGACGUCUGGAAGGUGCUGUUCAAGGGCGCCGAGGUCCCUCCUUCUCUCGCCGAGGACCGUGGACUAAGCGCAAAGCGCCUAGCGCGUUCGGUGAGUUCAACACGUCACGUAGGACAUUUAUUUCCCCUAGCUUAAUCAUGUGCGGGGUCUAAUCUCCAUGCCUUUGACAGGACUGGGUGGAGACGUCAGGGCAGAUUAACUAUCCAGCCCCUUUGCCCGAAGACACUGCGGGCGCUCUCCUGACGGAGAUGCUGACUCCAGCUGCUUACAAGGUGCCGAGGAAGACCAAGAAGGCCAAGGGAACCCGAAAGAGUUCCCGACGCCAGGCGUCGUCGGACUCACCGUCCAAUGACUCUGCGGCGCACUCCUCCCCAGAAGAAGAGGAAGAAGAAGAAGAUGCUCCCCCUCCAGUUGGGGGAGAUAAGAAAAGGAAGGCCGCCCCAACUGGGGGGGGGGCGAAGGGUCCAAGAAGGGAAGGGCUCUCCUUCCGGACAGUUCCACCGCCGCCGACGAAGGCGAAGACGAGUGGUUGCCCAGGGCCAAGCCCCUGGGGAGAUCGUAAGUAUUGGAUACCAGAGUAACUCAUAGCAUUCCUUUGUCGCACUGCUUUCCCUAACGCCGAACAUGAUUAUGCAGGCCGCCAUGAGCCAGUAUCGAUGUAUCAUCGGACGGUUCCCUGGGCUCGUCGGAUAUGGAUAGUGAUCCACUUCCGACCGCCACCUCCUCUUGCCGUACGGAUGACGCAGAGGUGCUAUCUCACGAGGCACCGGGUCGAGGGGAGACGGUCCCGGAGGCGCCUCAAGGCGGCCUCCCGGACUCCGGGAGCCGAGGGGACAAGGCCCCUGAGGGCCCCAAGUUCGGCCCUCAACCGAACACCGCGCCGGAACCUCCAGCGGUUCUGGACUCGGGCAGGCGACCUCCUUCUAAGAGGGGUAAGACGCCUGUGCCGGUGACCUCUGCCCAUCCAGAGGCGCCGGACAAUCUGCUCGAAGCGCUUCCAUCGACGAGGAGCACCGUACUAUUAUGAGUGCGGUGGUCCGGAAGGUUCAGUCCUCCAAGAGCGGAUUGACUGAAGCAUGUGCCAGCCUUCUAACAGGCUUUGAGGUAAGUGUUAAAAUAUAGGAAAAAUAUUACCGCAUAGACAGUAGCCCCUGAUGCUCUGUUCAGUGUUUACAAAGAAAAGCCAAACAGAGGAUCAAACAAUAUCGCAGGAGUCUAACUUAAGUAUGUCAAUAUGCGUAUGCAGGCUUCGCUGCUGGCCUCAACCGCACUGACUACGGAGGUCGCCUCAUUAAAGCAGGACCUCAAGGGGUCCAAGAAAGAGCUCGGCCUUGCCAAGAGGCAGGUCGAGGAGAACAAGGGUAAGUAAUACCCUGUCUGUAGAUAUGUAUAUAUAAAAGAAGACGCGAUUGCAAAAUGACAGGAUCAUCGUAUAUUUGCCAGGGGCCACGACCGAGGUGGCGACCUUGAAGCAAGCGCUAACUAAGGCCGAAGAUAAAGCGGCCAAGGAGCGCACCGAGCGAGAAAAGCAAGAGGCUCGGGUGGGCGAGGUGCAGCAAGAGCUCCAGGCUCUCGUGACGAAGCACGAGGCGUUGGAGCUUGACUCGAACACGCGAGAGUCUGAGCUUGCUGCGGCCCUUGAGAGCGCAAAAAGUGCCAAGGCCGAAGCCCAAAAGGCCCUCCAGGAGAUUGACACAAUGAAGAAGAUAGCGGCGGGUAAGGCAUUCUAUAUGCAGAGCAAGCAUGCAAAAGUAAAUUACCGAUUACUUACCCGAAUUCGGAGCUCUCCAGGAGCAUUCAUAGAUUUGCCCCGCAGCGUGUCGGAUGUCGCACAGUUUUACCAAGCCGAGGAGGGAAGCUCAACGGAGAAGCUGUUCUGGUCUCAGUAUACUGAGACCGAACACCCAAUGCCUCUGAGCGACCAGCUAAAGUAGCUGGUCGAGCUGCACAAGGUGGCCAAACAGGCCAUGAAGGGCCUUAUAGUCCGGCUGUGGCCUGGCGACGCCCUUCCGAACAGCUACUUCGGCCUGGUGAGGCGGCUUGUGGAUGCCUACCCACGGCUGGAGGUCGUCAAGCGGUCCGUCUGCAUCGAAGGUGCACGCCGGGCUUUCGCCCGUGUGAAGGUGCAGUGGGCCAAGCUAGACGCCAUGAAGCUGAUCAAGGAAGGACCACCGCAGGGCAAGGAGCAUCAUACCCCCGAAAUUUAUUAUGAGGGUGUCCUGAAGGGUGCCCGUCUUGUAGCGGACGAAUGUUCAAAGGAUGUAAUAUUUGAGUAAACUUGCUCGUGUGAUCCUGUAUGAUGAAAACUUGUUUCAUGUGCGCUAUGCAAUGCUUGUGUGAAUUUAAAAUAUUACCUUCUGUUUGGCUGUUUAUCCAAUCUGAGAGAUGGCUAGUCCUCAGCUUCUGCCCCCAUGCCACUAGUGCUGGGGUGUUCGGGAUAAACUUGAGCACUCUUGUUCCCAUGUUUGGGUCCUUCGAGGGAGGUGCUCAGCACAACGAACCAGGCAACCGGACUAAAUAAUGCUUUAUCACUCUCACUUAGCCAUAGAAUUCUAUAAUUUUAAAUUUCGGCGAAGCCCCUGGUAUUCGGAAGGCCGAGUUCGGGGCGUGAUACACGCCUUUAAGCCGAAUAGGGCCGGCCCCUCGCUCUAAGCGGCAUAAGUCUUUACGGACUCGAAAACCUCACCGAACAGCGACCAGUCUCUCGCCUUAUCAUGACAAUCCGUUUUAGCUUUCUCUACUAAGGUGCUCAACCCAGCAGAACCGGGGCACAAUAGCAAUAGUUCUCCUAGCGCUACCUUAGUCGAUAGAGCGGAACGUAAGGUACCAAAACAUAGGAUCCGGGCAAACCCAACAUUUGACCAAAGACAUGAUUCGGAGCUGAUGCAUAUAAUGCUAUAAGUUCGGGGUGCCGCACUUUUGAAAGUGUUCGGACUUUUCACACCAUAUUGCGGGGUAUGUAAGCCCCUGGUGUAUUGGUCGUACCAAAGUGUACGGUUGCAAGGCGUCAUUAAUGAACACAUAUAUAUAACAAGAAUGCAAUAAUAGUCGGAAUGUUAUGCAUUGUUUAUUCAAAAAGGUGCGUUUAAAGCAGAAUGAUACAGAUGGUGCGAUAAGCAAAGAGUAGGACUAUGUCCCUUCCAAGGGCAAGCUGAGGAACAUUAUUAAAUCAAAUAUUUCGCUCGUUAUUGUAAUCCACCUAGGAAUUUCGUGGUGUGACGUAGCUUUCUGCCUCCUUGGUUGCUGCAUCAUGUGUUCGGCGAUAGUGCUGCCGGACAGGGUUUCCAGAGAUUAAGGUCCUGAAAAAGAGAAAAAUAACCAAACGGGAAGCCCCUAGUGCGGUUUAAGCCGCGUCUUGGGGCGUGUCGCAGUGUGUCCCCCCUCCCCACCUGUGCCCAUGGUAUUUUUAAUGCGUAAUUAUGUACGCGUGGCAUGAGUUCCGCCGUUCGGCUGGGACCGGGGUGGGGGCCGCAUUGCUACACGAGCUCAGAUUGCUCCAGGCGGUCUAGUUGUCGAUUGCUCCAAGCGCACUUGGAGGUGUCCGGGUCUAGAAAUGCCGAACUGGUGGAUUGCCUUGAGAGGCUGCUUUGUGAUUCUGCCGCGAGGGCCGCGGUGUGCUCCUCCGUUCGGACAGAGCGUUCUGUGUUUCCAUUGACUGUAAUAACCCUGCGAGGUCCUGGCAUCUUGAGCUUGAGGUACGCAUAAUGUGGUACCGCAUUGAAUCUCGCAAAUGCGGUUCGCCCGAGCAGUGCAUGAUAACCACUGCGGAACGGGACUAUAUCGAAGAUUAACUCUUCACUUCGGAAGUUAUCCGGGGAUCCGAAGACCACUUCCAGUGUAAUUGAGCCUGUGCAAUGGGCCUCUACGCCUGGAAUGACGCCUUUAAAGGUUGUUUUUGUAGGUUUGAUCCUUGAGGGGUCUAUACCCAUUUUGCGCACUGUGUCCUGAUAAAGCAGGUUCAGGCUGCUGCCGCCAUCCAUAAGGACUCGAGUGAGGUGAAAUCCGUCAAUGAUUGGGUCCAGAACCAGUGCGGUGAAUCCGCCAUGACGGAUACUAGUGGGAUGGUCCCUGCGAUCGAAAGUGAUUGGAUAGGAGGACCAUGGGUUGAACUUUGGGGCGACUGGCUCCAACGCAUAUACGUCCCUGAGCGCACGCUUCCGCUCCCUCUUGGGGAUGUGGGUUGCGUAUAUCAUGUUCACCGUCCACACUUGUGGGGGAAACCUCUUCUGUCCUCCGGUGUGUGGCUGCCGGGGCUCCUCCUCGUCAUUGCUAUGUGGCCCCUUGUCCUUGUUUUCGGCAAUUAACUUGCCGGCCUGCUUGAACACCCAACAAUCCCUGUUGUUGUGAUUGGCUGGCUUUUUUGGGGUGCCAUGUAUUUGACACGAGCGAUCGAGUAUACGGUCCAAGCUGGACGGACCUGGCGUACUUUGUUUGAAUGGCUUUUUCCGCUGACCGGGUUUAGAGCCUUUGAAUCCGGCAUUGACUGCCGUAUCCUCGUUAUUAUCACUGUUAAUGCGGCGUUAUGUUUGUUGCGACGUGACCUGCUAUUGCCGUCCUUGGUAUCCGAAGUACCAUGGUUCUUUGAUAUGUUAUUACUGCGAGCCAGCUAGCUGUCUUCUCCCGCACAAAAGCGGGUCAUGAGUGUCGUGAGGGCUGCCAUAGAUUUCGGCUUUUCCUGACCAAGGUGCCGGGCUAGCCAUUCGUCCGGAUGUUGUGUUUGAAAGCCGCUAGGGCCUCUGCAUCCGGACAGUCGACAAUUUGAUUUCUUUGUUAGGAACCGAGUCCAGAAUUGCCUGGCCGAUUCUUCUUGCUGCUGAAUUAUGUGGCUCAAGUCAUCGGCAUCUGGUGGCCGCACAUAAGUGCCCUGAAAGUUGUCGAGGAACGCGGCUUCCAGAUCUUCCCAACAGUUGAUGGACUCGGCUGGCAAGCUGUUAAGCCAAUGCCGCGCUGGUCCCUUGAGCUUUAGUGGGAGGUAUUUGAUGGCAUGUAAGUCAUCACCGCGGGCCAUGUGGAUGUGGAGGAGGAAAUCCUCGAUCCAUACUGCGGGAUCUGUUGUGCCGUCGUAUGAUUCAAUAUUUACAGGUUUGAAACCUUCUGGGAUUUGAUGAUCCAUUACUUCGUCUGUGAAGCAUAAGGGGUGUGUGGCGCCUCUGUAUUGGGCUAUAUCGUGAUGCAGCUCGAAUGGGUCUUGCCCGCUGUGUUCGGCCCAGCCGGAUUUACUUUUACUGUAUCCGGCGUGACGUUUAUCGUCUCGCAUAGUGGCGCGCCCUCAUGAUCCGUAGAUCGAUCUUGCAUGCUUUGCUUUGCCCUCCAAUAUGUCUCACAGGUCUGGCGUAUCUCCCCAUGCCUUGUUGUUUAAGUGGCGUCGGGGUGCAGGCUGAGUUUUUGGCUGGAAUGCUUCUCUAUCGCGGCCACGAGGUGGCCGAUCAGCCGCGUCAUCCGCUUCUUCCUCCAGUUGGGGUAGCAACCUGCACUUUGGGUAACUCUUGGAGGGGCGCUCGAGUUUAUAUUCCUCGGCCGCGAGGACUUCAGUCCAUCUGUCAGCUAGCAGAUCUUGAUCAGCUUGAAGCUGCUGCUGCUUUUUCUUAAGGCUAUUUGUCGUGGCUAUAAGCUGGCAUUUGAAGCACUCUUGUUCGACGGGAUCCUCUGGCAUGGCGAAUUCAUUGUCGCCGAGGCUUGCCUCGCCUUCGGAGGGGGGCAUGUAAUUAUCAUCCUCCGCCUCUCCAUCUGCCGCUCUCUCAGGAGGGCUCUCUCCUCCAUCCUCCUGCUCUAAAUCUUGCUGGAGGGGAUUGUUGUUGUCUUCGGCACUAUCUGGAGUGUUAUUAUCUCCUGUGCCGGUAUCACCACUUUUCCUUUGGCGGGACUUAGAGUGGCGUCGUUGACGUUGGCGCUUGGGUUGCUUCUUGGAGGGGUCAUCCUCCGCUAUCUCAUCGCCAUUGCCUUCUUUGGGUGUAUCCACCAUGUAUAUAUCAUAUGAUGAGGUGGCUGUCCAGUGCCCUGUGGGCAGUGGUUCCUCUUCAUCUCCCGCAUGGUUGUCCAUACCAUCGAUUUCUUCGGAGUCGAAGUCGAGCAUGUCAGUUAAGACAUCGACAGUGGCUACUAAGUGGGUGGUGGGUGGGUCGUGAAUUUCUUCGUCGUCCGCAUCCCAGUCCUGUCGGACAUAGUUCGGCCAGGAUACUCCUGACAAGGAGAGAGACCUUAAUGAGUUCAGUGUGUCGCCAAAGGGUGAGUGCUGAAAAAUAUUCGCGGAGGUAAACUCCAUGAUCGGCGCCCAAUCGGAUUCGAUAGGAACGGGCGCAGGCGGCUCAGAGUCCAUGGCCGGAGAAGGAUCUGGCAGUUUAACAACAUGGCUCUCGUGCAAGGUAAGGUCGAUGUUUGGCUCGAUCGUCGCUGAGGGUAAGGCCUCCGUGGCGGGGUCCAUCCAGCCAUCCAUGGACGGUGCAACUGGCUCCGAAUUGAGGGUCGGAGCGGCUGCCUGUUUGAUCUCCUGAACACUAUCCGAUGGUAGAGCUAAAUCGUACUCAUCGUGACCGCGUGACGCACAAGGCAGAGGCUCAAAUCCGUCGAAGAUCAAGUCUCCACGGAUAUCGGCCGUGUAGUUUAAGCUUCCAAACCUGACCUGGUGGCCAGGGGCAUAACUUUCAAUCUGAUCCAGAUGGCCAAGCGAAUUGGCCCGCAGUGCAAAGCUGUCGAACACGAAGAUCUAUCCGGGGAGAAAAGUCUCACCCUGGACUGCAUCGCUAUCGAUGAUAGUAGGAGCCAUCAAGCCUAACGGUGACGACACAGAGGAACUCUCAAUGAAAGCACCAAUGUUGGUGUCAAAACCGGCGGAUCUCGGGUAGGGGGUCCCGAACUGUGCGUCUAAGGCGGAUGGUAACAGGAAGCAAGGGACACAAUGUCUUACCCAGGUUCAGGCCCUCUUGAUGGAGGUAAAACCCUACGUCCUGCUUGAUUAAUAUUGAUGAUAUGGGUAGUACAAGAGUAGAUCUACCACGAGAUCAGAGAGGCUAAACCCUAGAAGCUAGCCUAUGGUAUGAUUGUAUGUUGUAGUUGGUGUGUCCUACGGACUAAAACCCUCUGGUUUAUAUAGACACCGGAGAGGGCUAGGGUUACACAAGGUCGGUUACAAAGGAGGAGAUACACAUAUCCGUAUUGCCUAGCUUGCCUUCCACGCCAAGUAGAGUCCCAUCCGGACACGAGACGAAGUCUUCAAUCUUGUAUCUUCAUAGUCCAACAGUCCGGCCAAAGUAUAUAAUCCGGCUGUCCGGAGACCCCCUAAUCCAGGACUCCCACAUCUGGCACAGACUUCAGUCAGUCCGCUCUUGGCGGACCGAACCUUCUUGAUCACCGCACUCAUAAUAGUGUGGUGCUCUUCGUCGAUGGAAGCGCCGCGAAGCGCUCCCAGCAGGUUGUCUGGUGCCUCUGGAUGGACAGAGGUCACCGGCACGAGCGGCUUGCCCCCCUUGGUAGGGGGCCUCCUACCGGAGUCCGGAACCACUGGAGGUUCUGGCGCGGUGUUCGGCUGAGGGCUGAACUUGGAGCCCUUGGGAGUCUUGCUCCCUUUGCGCCUGGAGUCCGGAAGGUUGCCUUGAGGCGCCUCCAGGACUACCUCCCCUCGGUUCGGUGCCCCUUGAGACAAUACCUCGACAUUGUCCGUAGGGCGAGGAGAGGAGGCGGAUGGAAGUGGAUCGCUAUCCAUAUCCGACGAGUCCAAGGAACCGUCCAACGAGGAUACGUCGAUACGGGCUCGGGGCGGACUGUAUGAUCAUAUUCGACGUUAGGAGAAGCUGUGCAACAAAAGUAUGCUAUGAGUUACUCUGGUAUCUGAAUACUUACGACUUUGCCAGGGGCUUGGCCCUGAGUAACCACUCAUCUUCGCCAUCAGCGGCGGUGGUGGAACAGUCCGGAAGGAGAGUCCUUCCCUUCUUGGACCCUUCGGCCUCCCCGGUUGGGGCGGCUUUCCUUUUCUUGUAGCCCCCGGCUGGAGGGGGAGAAUCUUCAUCUUCCUCCUCCUCGUUUUCAUGGGAGGAGUGCGUCUCAGAGUUAUCGGACGAUGAGUCCGAUACCAGAUGGCGCCGGGAACUCUUUCGGGUUCCCGUGGCCUUCUUCUUGGUCUUCUCUGGCACCUCAUAAGGAGCUGGAGUCCGCAUCUCCGUUAGGAGAGCGUCUGCGGGGUCUUCGGGCAGAGGGGCCGGACAGUUAAUCUGCUCCGAUGUCUCCACCCAGUCCUGUCAAAUGCGUGGGAGCUCAGACCCCGCACAUGGUUAAGCUAUGGGAAAUAAAUACCCUACCAGAUGUACAGAACUUACCGGAUUCGCAGGGCGCUUCACGCUUAGCCCGCGGUCCUCAGUAAGAGAAGGAGGGACCUCGGCGCCCUUAAACAGCACCUUCCAGACGUCCUUAUGCGUCAUGUCGAAGAGCUCGCGUAGAGUCUGGUGCUGCGCCGGGUCGAACUCCCAUAAGUUGAAAGCCCGUUGUUGACACAGGAGGAUCCGGCGGAAAAGCAUGACCUAGACUAUGUUGACAAGCUUAUGUUUCUUGCUUAUCAUGUUCCGGACACACUUCUGGAGUCCGUCUAGCUCCACCGAUGAGCCCCAGGACAGGCCCUUCUCCUUCUAGGAAGUGAGCCGCGUGGGGAUUCCGGAUCGAAACUCGGGGGCCGCCACCCAGAUGGUGUCGCGCGGCUCGGUGAUGUAGAACCACCCCGAUUGCCACCCCUUUAUGGUCUCCACGAAGGAGCCCUCGGGCCAUGUAACGUUGGGCAUUUUUCUCACCAUGGUUCCGCAGCAUUCCACUUGUUGGCCGCCUACUACCUUCGGCUUGAUAUUAAAGGUCUUCAGCCACAGGCCGAAGUGGGGCCGGAUGCGGAGGAAAGCCUCGCACACGACGAUGAACGCCGAGAUGUUGAGGAUGAAAUUCAGGGCCAGAUCAUGAAAGUCCAGCCCAUAAUAGAACAUAAGGCCAUGGACGAACGUAUGGAGGGGAAACCCCAUUCCACGGAUGAAGUGGGGGAGGAAAACCACCCUUUCGUAAGGUUUCAGGGUGGGGACGAUCUGCCACAUGGUUGAUAGCCGGUGCGCGAUGUCCGCGGCUAAGUAUCCGGCCCCACGUAGUUUUUUGAUGUGUCCCUCCGUGACGGAGGAGACCAUCCACUUGCCUCCCGCUCCGGACAUGUUUGGAGAGAGUUGAGGAGAAGGAUGUGGACUUGGGCGCUGGAGCUCGAGUGCGCGAGAAUGGAUGAGCAAGGAGGAAGAAGGCGUGGGUAGAAAAAGGUGAAACCUUAUCCCUUUAUAAGGGCGGACGAAACUAUGCGCCCCCACCAGCCUGGUAAAACUCGCUUAUCCCACAAGCGCCAUAAUUGAUGGCGCGGUUGGGUUACCCACGUCCGUAUUGAUGGGAACCCCGUAAUAAGGGGACAUGAUCUCUGCUUCGACAAGACGUGCCAAGGAAACCGCCUCGCGAAACACGCUGAGAUAGGUUAUGAAAAACGAUUCGAAUAAAGACCUGGCUGUGGUGUGAUGCCAUGCUACGGGGUACGUCAGCAGAUUAGAUUUGUGGAAAUAUUAUUCUCUCUACGGUGGUAUGUGGAACUUGUUUUGCAGAGCCGGACACGAUCUUCGUGUUCCAAAUCUUCUAUGAAGUAUUCGGAGGAGGAACCCGCCUUGCAAUGCCGAAGACAAUCUGCGCGCCGGACUGAUCGUCAUUGAAGCCUGGUUCAUGGGCUACUGAGGGAGUCCUGGAUUAUGGGGUAUCCGGACAGCCGGAUUAUAUCCUUUGGCCGGACUGUUGGACUAUGAAGAUACAAGAUUGAAGACUUCGUCCCGUGUCCAGAUGGGACUCUCCUUGGCGUGGAAGGCAAGCUUGGCAAUACGGAUAUGUAGAUCUCCUUCCUUGUAACCGACUCUGUGUAACCCUAGCCCCCUCCGGUGUCUAUAUAAACCGGAGGGUUUAGUCCAUAGGACCAACAACAACAAUCAUACCAUAGGCUAGCUUCUAGGGUUUAGCCUCUCUGAUCUCGUGAUAGAUCAACUCUUGUACUAGUCAUAUUAUCAAGAACAAUCAAGCAGGAUGUAGGGUAUUACCUCCAUCAAGAGGGCCCGAACCUGGAUAAACAUCGUGUCCCCUGCCUCUUGUUACCAUCCGCCUUAGACGCACAGUUCGGGACCCCCUACCCGAGAUCCGCCGGUUUUGGCACUGACAGUCAUUCAUGUCAGUGUGCUAAAAGUCAUCAAUUACCGUACCCUAUAUCUACUAGUGUCUACAUCAAACCUUUGCAAUUGAUCUUUUCUGGUGUGUGGGGGCCUGCCCCCUCCUCUGUUGGUAGACACACGUAUUAUGUGAGUUUCAUCGAUGACUAUAGAAAAUUUUCAUGGAUCUAUCUCCUCAAGGUGUGUUCCAAGUUUUUCAGAACUUUCAAGCACUUGUUGAAAGAAAGUUCGACAGUAAGAUUCUUGCUGUCCAGUCUGAUUGGGGAGGGGAAUACGAGAAACUCAAUUCCUUCUUCCAAAGCAUAGGAAUAUCUCACCAUGUAUCAUGCCCGCAUGCUCACCAACAAAACGGGUCGGCCGAACGCAAGCCUACGCACAUUGUCGAGGCUGGCUUGGCCCUCCUAGCCGGAGCAUCCAUGCCCCUCAAGUUCUGGGAUGAGACUUUUCUGACAGCUGUUCAUAUUAUCAACAUGUUACCUAGCCGUUUUAUCAACAAUGAAACACCCAUGGAACGUCUCCUCCACACAAAACCAGACUACACCUCUCUCCGUGUUUUGGUUGUGCUUGUUGGCCAAAUCUUCGUCCAUACAACAAAUGCAAGCUCAUGUUUAGAUCAAAACAGUGUGCCUUCCUUGGUUAUAGUGCCCAACACAAAGGUGUCAAGUGUCUUGACAUCUCCACUGGUAGGGUUUACAUCUCUCGUGAUGUUGUUUUUGAUGAGAGCAAGUUCCCCUUUGUGGAUCUCCAUCCUAACGUCGGCGCACUCCUCCGCAAAGAAAUUUUGUUCCUACCUUCUCAUCUUUCUGGCUAUGAUUAAGGGGGUAUUACAAAUUGUGAUGAUCAUAUGUUGACUAACCCUACUAAUAGUCUCCAUGAGCCUUGUGAUGAUGCAAAAAACAACAAAAACGGACCAACAUGUCCUUAUUUCAUGUGUCCUGGUCCAGGGGACAGAUCCUCCUCGGGAUCGGAGCAAGCGCUGCAGACGCGCAGCCGAUCUUCCCCGAGACCCGCGCCUGGCAGCGAAUCUACCGCGCCAGUCCCGACAGACGCAGGAGGGCAUGCGGACGCCUCAGGAGGGCGUGCAGGCAAGUCCGCGUCAGCCACACGGCAGAGCCUAGUGGGCCGCAAUGCCUCCUCUCUCGCGCGCAAACCAUCGCCCGACAGGUGGCAGGCUGGUUCUGGUCUGGGCUGGGUCCAGCAAGACGGCCAACUGCGCGUUUACAAGCGGCGCGCCACUACUGGUUCAGUGGAUGCGGGGGCAGGCUCUGUCAGCCCAGGGUCCAGGCAGCAAUCUUUGGGCCAUGAUGACGCGCCCCAGCCCAGAUCCUAUGUGGCCAACUCAUCGCUUGCACCACGCGCCAUGGCCGCAGAAAAUCCGAACCCGACAUCGCCUGCUCACGCUGCAGAUUCUGGAGCCCUGCAUGGAUCUUCCUCGGGAUCAGGAUAGGAUCAGCCCGAUCCAGACCUUGGAUCCUCUGUGUUGGGGUGCUCUGUAGAGGCUCCUGUUGCUACUCCGCGCCGAACAUGACUUAAACAAGGGGUAAUUAAACCUAUUGAUUAUAAGCAUGUUACAAAAUAUGGGCUAGUGUGUUCAACAGGUGAACCAGGAGAACCCAAUACUCUUGAAGAUGCUUUGGGUGAUGCACGUUGGAAAAAAGCAAUGAAUGAUGAAAUCAUGGCACUUAGGAAAAACAGAACAUGUCAUUUGGUUCCUCCACAACAAGGUAAAAACUUAUUGACUGUAGUGGUUCUUUAGGAUAAGAAGGAAAGCUGAUGGAACCAUUGACCGUUAUAAAGCCAGACUCAUUGCAAAGGGCUUUAAACAACGGUAUGGUAUUGACUAUAAGGACACGUUUAGUCCAGUUGUGAAAGCUGCUACUAUUCGUCUUGUUUUGUCCAUUGCUGUGUCCAGGGGAUGGAGUUUAAGUCAGCUAGACGUUCAUAACGCGUUCCUCCAUGGUGUUCUGGAAGAAGAGGUUUACAUGAAACAACCACCUGGGUUUGCAAAUGCACGUGCACCACUUCAUGUGUGCAAGCUUGACAAGGCAUUGUAUGGACUGAAACAGGCCCCAAGAGCAUGGUAUUCUCGUCUCGGUAAAAAGAUGCAAGCACUUGGCUUUGUUCCUUCAAAGUCUAACACCUCGUUAUUUAUCUAUAACAAGUCAAGUAUAUCCAUAUUUGUUCUCAUAUAUGUUGAUGAUAUAAUUGUGACAAGUUCAUCUGAUGAAGCAAUAACAACACUGUUGAAGGAUUUGAGUGCAGAAUUUUCUCUCAAGGAUCUAGGAAAUCUACAUUAUUUUCUUGGUAUUGAGGUCAAGCAACACAAGGAUGGUCUUCACCUCUCUCAAGAAAAGUAUGCAACGGACUUAGUAAAAAAGGCUGGUUUGCAAAGCUGUAAGCCUACACCCACUCCUUUAUCUAGUACAGAAAAAUUGUCCCUUACUGAAGGAGAGCUCCUAAGUUCAGAAAAUGGUACAAAAUACAGAAGUCUGGUAGGUGCACUUUAGUACUUAACACUGACCAGACCAGACAUUUCCUUUGCUGUUAACAAAGUAUGUCAGUUUCUCCAUGCACCUACCACUGUUCACAUGACUGCUGCAAAACAUAUAGUAAGAUAUGUGAAAAAUACAUUGAGCAUUGGUCUAAAUUUCAGCAAGUCAUCCUCUACACUUAUCAGUGCCUUCUCUGACUCAGAUUGGGCUGGGUGUCUAGAUGACAAACGCCCAACUGGUGGUUUUGCAGUAUUCUUUGGACCUAAUUUGAUAUCUUGGAGUGCAAGGAAGCAAGCUACAGUUUCAAGAUCCAGUACAAAAGCAGAAUACAAAGCUUUGGCCAAUGCAACAACAGAGAUCAUAUGGGUGCAGUCAAUUUUAAAGGAACUAGGUAUGAAAAGCACUAGAGCUCCAUGUUUGUGGUGUGACAAUCUAGGUGCUACCUAUUUAUCAGCAAAUCCAGCCUUUCAUGCUAGAACUAAACACAUUGAGAUAGACUUUCACUUUGUUCGAGAAAGAGUUGCGAAUAAACUCUUGGAUAUUCAGUUUAUUCACUCUCAAGACCAGGUUGUGGAUGGUUUCACCAAAGCUCUACCCACAAGAAGUUUUGAAGACUUCAAACAUAAUAUCAACUUGAUGAAGUUGUGAUUAAGGGAGGGUGUCAAACAUGAUGAUAUGGUUGCAUGUGUAUAGACAUGUACAAGGCGUAUACAGGAAGGGAGAUCAACACCGCCGGAGUAGUAGUUAGUUAGCUAAAGUCUUUUGUAUCUUUAUCUCCUCUUAUCCCUAGUUUUCUUCCUUUGCAAGAUGUAUCUAUCUCAACAACAUGUACGCGUACUUGGGCUCACAACCCUUCUAUUUAACACGCAACACAUCGGCCAGGAAGGCUAAGACGUUUACCACAAGUCACACAAAGGGAGCUCUAGCAAGAAAUAUUAAACAAGGUAAACAAGCUACAAUUGCACUAAGCAUAAAUCAACUAAGAGGAUAUAAAUAAUCAAAAUGGGACCACAGAAAGACUACGAUAUUGCUCGAAGUUUAAGUCCUUGAGGUUCUAAUCUCUGUUGGAGAUACAUGGGACACCAAGGCACCAACAACCACAGAAACAUAGCGUUACUCUCCUUGAGCUUUGGCCACGAAUCCAAGCUCAACCACUAAGGGCUGAGCUUGAAGUAAUUUUCGGCCUUCACAAACUAACCUUGGAAUAAUCCACAGCCUGGAAGAUCCCAGGAGACUCCAACCUUCUAAGAGUCCCCAGAAAUCCCACAGAAGUUGAACAACUGAUGCUCCUAUGUUUAAACAGACAUUUAGAAGAAUUCUAUAGUGAGGGAAAGGGUGAAGAGAACCUAUGAUUGAGUCCACUCUACCAGAUCUUCCCACAUUGGCCAAAGGAAUGGAAAGCCAGCCUGAUUCGCCUACAUUCUGGAACAAGAAGAAAGUCGAUCUCAAACCCAUUCUUGGAGCCUGAUUCACCUACAUUCUAGACAAGUCAAAGAUGGAUUGCAGAGGAUACACAUAGCUAAACAAGGCAUUUUGUACAUGCUCAGCUGCAGCGAGCAACAUUGAAACAGUUACAACUUCAGUAGUAGUUCCUACUGAAAUGAUAAGUUUUGUGCAGCUUUAGUAGUAGUUCCUUCAGUGAGCAGCAUAAGUUAGAUAAUAGUUAACCGGCCAAAAAGACAAUUACUACAUACAGUUCACAAGAACGACACACAAGCAACAAUCUAGUUUGUAGGAAUAGGAUUUUUUUGAGGGAAGGCCCAUAGGAAUAGGAAUUCUGUUGCCUAAAACGUUGGAGUUUUCCUUAUAUUCAAGGGAGCAGAAACAGAGAGAGCGAGAAAGAUGGGCUUGAUUGAAUACGUUCGUGACAUCCCCUGCCAUCCAGCUUCUGCGUCCACUAUGCCCAUGACUCAGCUCCACAUCAUGCUUGUGUAACACCCCUGUCCAGAUCGAGAGGAUCGGAGUAGGCUUGGAGAGGGGAUCAGAGAGGUAGGUGGGAUACUUGGAGAAGAGGGUGAGGAACGAGAGAAAGAGGAUGAGUCAAUCAGUCCAUUUCAUACAGCCUGUCGAUCUCAGGAUCGCCUUCAGGGUUAAGUACAGACACGCCUGGCCCGUGGCCAACUCACACACGCACUCCUGACCCUGUGACCCACCGGUCAGCUACCACACUUUCUCCUACACGCUAGGGCCUGCUUGACAGUCACACCAUGGCUGGUGUGACACUCUCCCUGUCUCCAGAACGAGCGUCCUCGCUCGAGUCUUGAUGGUUCUAGAUUGGAGCAGCCGGAAAGUGUCGACAGAGAACAUCGUAAUCCUCCCAUGUCGUCGCUGUUGCUGGUUUGUCCCACUUCACAUGGAGCUGAACCACGGAAGCAUUGCCUCGUUUCAUCAUCCACCUGUCCAAGAUAGCCACAGGUGUAGUAUCCACUAUCGUCAGAUCCCCUGUGCUGGGAAGUUCAGAGAACACUGGCGAGUAGUUUGGAGUGAAUGGUUUCAGCUGGGAUAUAUGGAAGACUAGAUGUAUGCGGCUGUCUUGGGGCAAGUCCAGCCUGUAUGCCAGGUUCCCAAUCUUGUCCAAGAUCUUGAAGGGGCCAAAGAACUUGUAGACCAAUUUUGCACAAGGCCUGCUCGCCACCGAUUUCUGAACAUGAGGCUGCAGUUUUAGAAGCACUUGUUCCCCAAUCUGAAAGGAACGUUCAGUCCUGUUGAUGUCUGCAUAUUUCUUGAACCUCUUCUGGGCGCGUUCCAGCUGCGCCCGCAGGUUGUCUGUAUGCACUGCCCAGUCCCAUUCCUCGCCGUCUGGCAUGAUGGGAGGGGUAUGUUGCCAAGCUCCCAUGUUGCCUAUAUUAGCUUCCACCCCAUAUAGUGCUUUGAAAGGAGAACAAUGCAGAGAGGCAUGCUAUGAAGAGUUGUACUAGAAUUUUGCUAAGGGGAGCCAUUUGCGCCAUUGUCGCGGUGUGUCGUGAACCGCACACCGUAAGUACAUUUCCAUGCACUGGUUGACGUGUUCAUGUAGGAUCUAGAAGUAGAUGUGUCUAGAGGGGGGGUGAUUAGACACUUAGUGCUAAAGUUGCAAUUUUUAGGCCUUUUUGGUUUGAGUGGAGUUUUAGGCACAAUUUCAACAUACACAAUACAUAUCAAGCAAGCAUGCAAAGAGUAUAUGAGCAGCGGAAUGUAAAGCAUGCAACUUGCAAGAAUGUAAGGGGAAGGGUUUGGAGAAUUCAAACGCAAUUGGAGACACAGAUGUUUUUCCCGUGGUUCGGAUAGGUGGUGCUAUCCUACAUCCACGUUGAUGGAGACUUCAACCCACGAAGGGUAACGGUUGCGCGAGUCCACAGAGGGCUCCACCCACGAAGGGUAAUGGUUGCGCGAGUCCAUGGAGGGCUCCACCCACGAAGGGUCCACGAAGAAGCAACCACCCACGAAGGGUCCACGAAGAAGCAACCUUGUCUAUCCCACCAUGGCCAUCGCCCACGAAGGACUUGCCUCACUAGCGGUAGAUCUUCACGAAGUAGGCGAUCUCCUUGCCCUUACAAACUCCUUGGUUCAACUCCACAAUCUUGUCGGAGGCUCCCAAGUAACACCUAGCCAAUCUAGGAGACACCACUCUCCAAGAAGUAACAAAUGGUGUGUAGGUAAUGAACUCCUUGCUCUUGUGCUUCAAAUGAUAGUCUCCCCAACACUCAACUCUCUCUCAUAGGAUUUGGAUCUGGUGGAAAGAAGGUUUGAGCGGAAAGCAACUUGGGGAAAGCUAGAGAUCAAGAUUCAUGUGGUAGGAAUGGAAUAUCUUGGCCUCAACACAUGAGUAGGUAGUUCUCUCUCAGAAAUAGGAUGCUGGAAGUGUAGGCUUAGUCUGAUGGCUCUCUCUACGAAUGAAGAGGAGGUGGAGGGGUAUAUAUAGCCUCCACACAAAAUCCAACCGUUACACAUGAUUUACCAAUCUCGGUGGGACCGAAUCAACAAACUCGGUCAGACCGAAAUAGGAAACCUAGUGACCGUUAGAGAUUUUCGGUGGGACCGACUGGAUCAACUCGGUGGGACCGAUGUGCUAGGGUUAGGGUAAAUCCAAAACUCGGUUUGACCAAUUACUCAAACUCGGUGGGAUCGAUUUGGGUAAUAAGUGAAACAGAGAGUUGGCCAAGCAAACUCGGUGGGGCCGAUUGCAUAUCUCGGUGGGACCGAAAAUAUUGCAAUAGGUAACAGAGAGUUUGCAAGCCCAUCUCGGUGAGACCGAGAUCCCAUCGGUGAGACCGAACUGAUUAGGGUUUCUGGCAGUGGCUAUGACAGGUGAAACUCGGUGGCGCCGGAUAGGAAUAAUCGGUAGGUCCGAGUUUGGCUUUGGGUUUAGGUCAUAUGUGGAAGUGGGAAAGUAGCUGAGGAUUUUGGAGCAUAUCAUUAAGCACAUGAAGCAAGAGGCUCAUUAAGCAACACCUCAUCGCUCCUUGAUAGUAUUGGCUUUUCCUAUGGACUCAAUGUGAUCUUGGAUCACUAAAAUGUAAAAUGAAGAGUCUUGAGCUUGAAGAUUUAGCCAAUCCUUUGUCCUUAGCAUCUUGAAGGAGUUCCCACAACCUUUAGUCCAUGCCACUCCAUUGUUGAACUUAUCUGAAACAUGCUAGAUAGAAAUGUUAGUCCAACAAGAGAUAUGUUGUCAUCAAUUAUCAAAACCACCUAGGGAGCACUUGUGCUUUCAAUCUCCCCCUUUUUGAUAAUUGAUGGCAACAUACAUCAAAGCUUUAGAUAAAGAUAUAAAGAACAGCAAGUAAAGCUUUGGAAGGACAUGUAACAAGCAUAGGCUCCCCCUACAUGUAUGCACUCAUGUAAAUAUGAAAUAUAGAGGCAUGUGAGAGCAUAACCAUGACAGAGUAGGCAAUGUGUUACAUGUAUCUUGGCCAUAUGCAUCAGAGCAAAAGAUUAUCAAGGAAAAUACCUUCAUGCUCAUGAGUCCUUCUUGCAAACAGUAUGUACAUAAGCAAGAACUCCUCAUACUCAUGAUUUUGAUGCAUAUACUUACCUUGUGGUCUUGAGUUGGCUUAGGAUGGAAUGAACCUGCACAAACAAAGUUAGAUAACACAGGUACAUCCACUAGCCAGAGCAAACAAAAGAAACCACAAGAAUACCAAGACUGGGAUGACAUGUAGAGAGUGAGUACAAGGUACCACAUUGGAUUCAACAUGUCCCCAAGAAUAAAGAUAUGCAAUGAAUUUGACUGAUUUCUUUCCCUUAGGUGUCUUGCUCCCCCAGAAUCUUACAUGGGAUAUUGGGAGAAGAUAAGGAACAGCAAAUCAGAGCUGAAAGAUACAAAUGAACAUGUCUUUCCCCCUAAAAAGACAUGUGACAUCUCUCCUCUUGAACAUCAAGCAUCAAGCAUCUGGGACAUCUGGGAUCCUUGAGUAUUCUCUCCCCCUGGAAGUCUCUCUCUCCCCCUUAAUACUUUCUCUCUUGUAGGUUUGGUCCUUGAGACUUUUUCUCUCCCUUGAUGUGAUCUAUCUCUCCUACAAGCUUUGAUGUGAUCUCUCUCUCCCCCUUUGACAUCAAUUUCCAAGAAGGGCUUUCUGGAAUCCGUCGUAUAGGUUUGGUCCUUGAGACUCAGCACAAAGCAAUGGAUAAAACUGUGAUGCUUGUAGAGGACAAGAUUCAAUGAGUAGAGCUGGAUCAGAAGAAAUAUAGAACAACUGGCAAACUGUUUUUCCUGUUGCAAAGUCGGUGGCACCGAGUGGUAUGUUUCAGUGGCACCGAAAAGAUUCGGUUGGACCGAAAAUUACAAGUCGGUGAAACCGAGUUCACACAGAGAAAAACACUUGUCACCUCAGCUCACUAGACAUGUAGGAUCUCACAAAGAUUUGCAAUGAAUUACCUGAAGGAUUUGCAAGGAAUUAAAUGCAGAAAAUGCAGAAUAUAAACAGAAAGAAAAGAGAAGAGACUGAAAAAUCUAGAUGGAGUUUUUUUUUGUUUUUGAAAAAGAGAAAGAAACUAAACAUGCAUGAGAUACACACAAAAAGAGCACAAGAGAACUUCAUCUAGAGUUGGGCGGUGACAUAGUCACCUAUGUUAGAGUAUAUUGACUUAGGAGUCAAGUGAGAACACUUGAUCAUAGGUCAUACUCAUCGUUUAAGCUCAAAAUGGGGUUACCAUUUUUCGUUUAAGCAUCUUGAUGUAUUCACAUCUUGUUGAGUUGCUUUGACUCAUGUCUUGGAGUAAAGCUUCUCUAAGAUGGAAUAACAUACCUUGGGUGGUGGUGUGGUUCUUGCUCAUGUAGUUGAACUUGUGUGGGUGCUCAAGGUUGAUGUAGCUCAUCAAGAGUUGGGAGCACCACUUGGAGUUUGAGUUCAUCUACCUACAUGGGUUAGUUCUUGCAAGGAAGAGCACUUGUGUAUCCAAAAAUGACAAUCAUGAAGCUCAACAUAGAAUUUGUCAAAGGAUAUGUUUGAAUGGUUUUGUGCUUCCUUGUCUUCAACCGCCAUUGUGUAGAGACUUGGUGAUGUAGAGAUUGCUCAAGAUGUGAGUGAGUCGCAAUCUCAUGGAAUUAGAUUCAACCAAGCACCUACAUGGGUUAGACAACAUGCAAGGUACAAAUAUAUCCAAGACAUAAGAUAGUCAUCAUAAGAGAUAUAUCAUGGAUUAGUCAUAAGCUCAUGUCUUGCAUGUAUCCAAUGGAGUUUCUACUCCAAGUUCGAAGCAUCAAUGAUGUUCAAUUCACCUCUCAACCUGCAAAAUACUUUCUCAUCAAGAGGUUUAGUAAAUAUAUCCGCUAAUUGCUUAUCAGUGCGAACGUGCUUAAGAUUAAUGUCACCCUUAGCAACAUGAUCUCGAAUGAAAUGAUGACGAACUUCAAUAUGCUUACUUCGAGAAUGUUGUACAGGAUUAUGACCAAUUUUGAUAGCACUUUCAUUGUCACAAAGCAGUGGAACAUGUUUCACAUAAAUCCCAUAAUCUUUAAGAGUUUGGGUCAUCCAAAGUAAUUGAGCACAACAUGAACCAGCGGCGAUGUAUUCCGCUUCGGCGGUGGAUAAGGAUACCGAGUUUUGUUUCUUGGAAGACCAAGACACAAGAGAUCUACCAAGAAAUUGACAAGUACCCGAAGUGGACUUUCUAUCAACCUUGUCUCCGGCAUAAUCCGAGUCGGAAUAGCCAACAAGAUCAAAAGAAGACCUCUUAGGAUACCAAAUGCCAAAAUUUGGUGUAUGGAUUAAAUAUCUCACUAUCCUUUUCACAGCCUUAAGAUGACAUUCUUUAGGAGCAGCUUGAUAUCGUGCACACAUGCACACAGUUAGCAUAAUAUCGGGACGUGAAGCACAUAGGUAUAACAAUGAACCAAUCAUAGAGCGAUAAACCUUUUGAUCAACCGGUUCACCAUCUUUGGUCAAAUCAUUAUGUCCACUAGUAGGCAUGGGUGUAGACAUACCUUUGCAUUCUUGCAUAUUGAACUUCUUGAAUAAGUCCUUGGUGUACUUCGUUUGAGAGACAAAUGUACCUUCCUUAGUUUGCUUGAUUUGCAAACCGAGAAAGAAUUUGAGUUCACUCAUCAUAGACAUCUCAAACUUCUCUGACAUUAGCUUUCCAAACUUUUCACUAAAGAGAGGGCUAGUUGAACCAAAUAUGAUAUCAUUGACAUAAAUUUGGCAUACAAAUAGUUCUCCAUUAACCCUUUUAGUAAAAAGAGUAGAAUCAAUUUUACCAAUUUCAAAACCACUUGUAAUAAGGAACUUGGUCAAGCAUUUAUACCAUGCUCUAGGAGCUUGUUUAAGACCAUAAAGAGCUUUGUGAAGUUUGUAAACAUGAUUUGGUUUCUUAGGAUUGAUAAAGCCGUGAGGUUGUUUGACAUAAACUUCCUCCUCUAUUUCACCAUUUAGAAAAGCACUUUUAAUGUCCAUUUGGUACAAGGUGAUAUUAUGGUGAUUAGCAUAGGCAAGUAAGAUGCGAAUGGACUCAAGUCUAGCAACGGGAGCAUAUGUCUCACCAUAGUCCAUACCUUCGACUUGUGUGUACCCUUGGGUGACAAGACGUGCUUUGUUGCGAACCACUUGUCCAUCUUCAUCUUGCUUGUUGCGAAACACCCAUUUGGUACCAAUGAUGUUGUGGUUGUUGUCGGGCUUCUCAACCAAUGUCCAAACUUGGUUUCUCUCAAUUGUGUAGCUCUUCAUGCAUAGCAUUUAUCCAAUCCGGAUCUUCCAAUGCUUCUUCAACCUUCAUAGGUUCAAUGCUAGAGAUGAAUGAAUAGUUUUCACAAAAGUUAGCUAAACGAGUUUUUGAGCGAGUGAUUCUCCCGGUUUGUAUAUCAUUGAGGAUUUGCUCGACGGGAUGAUCUUUGGCAAUUCUUGCUCGAACUCGUGAGAGCUUUUGCUUGGGUCUUCGUUGAACAUCUUCUUCAUCUUGUUCUUCUUCUUGGCCUUCUUCAUUGUUGACGUCGUCGUUCUCUUGUCGUGGUGGAGAAAGAGGUUGUUGAUGUUCGUCUUGAUGCAUUUCCUUGUCUUCUUCAUCUUGGUGUGUCCCACUUGUGGAUGCUUCCGUGUUGAUUCUUGGUUCACCUUGUCGUGAAGUAGAAGCUUCCACUUGGAUGGAUGAAGUACUCUCCUUCACCUCCGUUGGACGAAUUUUGCCAAUGGACAAGUCUUGGAUUGCUUCUGAAAGGUCUUUGUCUCCUACAUCAAUUGGCAAUUGCUCUACUUGCGAGCCAUUAGAUUCAUCAAACUUCACAUCUACCGUCUCUUCAACCUUUCGGGUGAAAUUGUUGUAGACACGGUAAGUGUGAGAGUUUGAGCCAUAACCAAGUAGAAAACCUUCAUGAGAUUUAGGAGCAAACUUUGAACGAUGAUGCUUAUCAAGAAUGUAGCACUUUGAGCCGAAUACUCGAAAGUAUCCAACUUGGGGUUUGUUACCGGUGAGAAGCUCGUAUGCCGUCUUGCCGAGUAGCUUGUGAAGAUAUAAGCGAUUUGUUGCGUGACAAGUUGUCUCAACCGCUUCUGCCCAAAAGUGCUUCGGCGUCUUGUAUUCAUCAAGCAUCGUUCUUGCCAUUUCGAUGAGCGUCCGGUUCUUCCUCUCAACAACUCCAUUUUGUUGAGGUGUGUACGUAGCCGAGAACUCGUGUGAAAUCCCUUCUUCGUCGAGAAAGGUGUCCACAUUUGCAUUCUUGAACUCCAUUCCGUUGUCACUCCGAACCUUCUUGAUCUUCACGUCAAACUGAUUUUGGGCCUUCCUAGCGAAGUUUCUGAAGAUCUUCUGGACCUGCGACUUGUCAUUAAGAAAGAACACCCACGUAAAUCUUGAAAAAUCAUCAACUAUAACUAGACCAAAAGAAUUUCCACCGAGACUCUUGUAGGCGUUGGGACCAAAAAGAUCCAUAUGAAAUAGCUCGAGUGGCCUUCUUGUGGUCAUGAUGUUCUUCACGGGAUGCCUUCCUCCAACCUGUUUACCUGCUUGACAAGCACUGCAAAGUCUAUCCUUAUCAAAUAUGACAUCGUUAACUCCAAGGAUAUGAUUUCCUUUAAUAAGCUUGUCAAGGUUUCUCAUGCCAACGUGACCUAGUCGUCUAUGCCACAACCAACCUUUUGAGGAUUUAGCAACAAAGCAAGUUUUAGGUUGUGCCUUUUUAGAGAAAUCGACAAUGUAAAGAUCACCUCUACGCAUACCGGUAAAGACCAUUUUAUGAUUGUCUCGACGAAAUACUUGGCAAUCUACCUCAGUAAAUAGGACAUUCAAACCGAAAUCAGCAAGUCUAGAUACUGAAAGUAAGUUGUAGCCAAGAGAUUCAACGAGCAUGACAUUUUGAAUGGAACUAUCAUGUGAGAUGGCCACCUUACCAAGGCCAACCACUUUACCCUUUGAAUUAUCACCAAAGGUGACAUAUUUUCGAGGGCCGUCAUUUUCAGCAAGCUCACGGAACAUCUCUUCAUCUCCGGUCAUAUGAUCAGUACAUCCACUAUCAAGAACCCAUUCCUUUCCUCCCGACUCAUAUCCCCGAAGAUUUGCCAUAAGACCAAAAUGUCUCAUUGCAUCAUCAAGAUCGAAGUCACUAUCAUCAUCAUCAUAGUAUCCAUGUUCACCAUGAUCUUGUGACUCAUCAUUUCCUAGAGAGGGUAAUUCAUUAGAUAAAUGAUCAUCAAAGUGGUCACCUUUAUGAAUUCUUAUAGCUUCGAAUAUGAUAUCACUAAUGAUUCCAACAUCUCCUUUAGCAUGCUUAAGAUUGGUAAGUUCAAAUAGACAAUUACCAAAACUAGGAUCACUAGAGUUCAUCUUACUCAAGGCACUAGAUUUAUGGAGAAUUUCAUCCAAAGUUUUCAAGGAAUGAUCGGGAAAUCGUUCCUCAAGAAAUUUUCAUAUAGUAUAGGCACAAUUAAGAGUAGGCAAACUAGCAAUCAAAUUUUUGGGCAAUCCUCUAAUGAUGAGCUCAAUAGUUCUAAGAUUGCGAAUCAUGUCAAUAUCUUCAUCUAGGGUAGGAUGCAAAGGAUCAAUAUGAGGUGCACAACGGCUAGCAAUAUACUUGUUCAAAUGAUAUUGAUUGAAAAUUACAAGCAUCUCAUUUUUCCACUCCUGAAAAUACUCUCCAGCAAGAAUAGGCACUCUAUGUCUAAGACUCCCUAAGGUAGACAUAUCCAUCUUCCUCCAAUGGUGAUUAAACCAAGGCAAUGAAAACCUGGCUCUGAUACCACUUGUAGGAUCUAGAAGUAGAUGUUUCUAGAGGGGGGGGGUGAUUAGACACUUAGUGCUAAAGUUGCAAUUUUUAGGCCUUUUUGGUUUGAGUGGAGUUUUAGGCACAAUUUCAACAUACACAAUACAUAUCAAGCAAGCAUGCAAAGAGUAUAUGAGCAGCGGAAUGUAAAGCAUGCAACUUGCAAGAAUGUAAGGGGAAGGGUUUGGAGAAUUCAAACGCAAUUGGAGACACGGAUGUUUUUCCCGUGGUUCGGAUAGGUGGUGCUAUCCUACAUCCACAUUGAUGGAGACUUCAACCCACGAAGGGUAACGGUUGCGCGAGUCCACGGAGGGCUCCACCCAUGAAGGGUAAUGGUUGCGCGAGUCCACGGAGGGCUCCACCCACGAAGGGUCCACGAAGAAGCAACCACCCACGAAGGGUCCAUGAAGAAGCAACCUUGUCUAUCCCACCAUGGCCAUCGCCCACGAAGGACUUGCCUCACUAGCGGUAGAUCUUCACAAAGUAGGCGAUCUCCUUGCCCUUACAAACUCCUUGGUUCAACUCCACAAUCUUGUCGGAGGCUCCCAAGUAACACCUAGCCAAUCUAGGAGACACCACUCUCCAAGAAGUAACAAAUGGUGUGUAGGUAAUGAACUCCUUACUCUUGUGCUUCAAAUGAUAGUCUCCCCAACACUCAACUCUCUCUCAUAGGAUUUGGAUCUGGUGGGAAGAAGGUUUGAGUGGAAAGCAACUUGGGGAAAGCUAGAGAUCAAGAUUCAUAUGGUAGGAAUGGAAUAUCUUGGCCUCAACACAUGAGUAGGUAGUUCUCUCUCAGAAAUAGGAUGCUGGAAGUGUAGGCUUAGUCUGAUGGCUCUCUCUACGAAUGAAGAGGAGGUGGAGGGGUAUAUAUAGCCUCCACACAAAAUCCAACCGUUACACACGAUUUACCAAUCUCGGUGGGACCGAAUCAACAAACUCGGUCAGACCGAAAUAGGAAACCUAGUGACUGUUAGAGAUUUUCGGUGGGACCGACUGGAUCAACUCGGUGGGACCGAUGUGCUAGGGUUAGGGUGAAUCCAAAACUCGUUUUGACCGAUUACUCAAACUCGGUGGGACCGAUUUGAGUAAUAAGUGAAACAGAGAGUUGGCCAAGCAAACUCGGUGGGGCCGAUUGCAUAUCUCGGUGGGACCGAAAAUAUUGCAAUAGGUAACAGAGAGUUUGCAAGCCCAUCUUGGUGAGACCGAGAUCCCAUUGGUGAGACCGAACUGAUUAGGGUUUCUGGCAGUGGCUAUGACAGGUGAAACUCGGUGGCGCCGGAUAGGAAUAAUCGGUAGGUCCGAGUUUGGCUUUGGGUUUAGGUCAUAUGUGGAAGUGGGAAAGUAGCUGAGGAUUUUGGAGCAUAUCAUUAAGCACAUGAAGCAAGAGGCUCAUUAAGCAACACCUCAUCGCUCCUUGAUAGUAUUGGCUUUUCCUAUGGACUCAAUGUGAUCUUGGAUCACUAAAAUGUAAAAUGAAGAGUCUUGAGCUUGAAGCUUUAGCCAAUCCUUUGUCCUUAGCAUCUUGAAGGAGUUCCCACAACCUUUAGUCCAUGCCACUCCAUUGUUGAACUUAUCUGAAACAUGCUAGAUAGAAAUGUUAGUCCAACAAGAGAUAUGUUGUCAUCAAUUAUCAAAACCACCUAGGGAGCACUUGUGCUUUCAGUUCACUCUACCCGUCCGUCUGAGGGUGGUAGGCAGUUGAGUACAGCAACUUAGUACCUGCGCCAGCGAGCAGCUCGCGCUAGAGAGCGCUGGUGAAGACCUUGUCUCUAUCAGACACAAUUGAGGCCGGCACCCCAUGGAUUUUAACUAUGUUGUCCCAAAAGGCUUUGGCCACCUGCGCCGCUGUGAAGGGGUGACGGAGCGGCACGAAAUGCGCGAACUUCGUGAAGCGAUCCACGACCACCAUAAUCGCAUCAUAGCCCUCCGACUUGGGAAGCCCUUCAACGAAAUCCAUCAUGAGAUCUUGCCAAGGUGCUGUUGGGAUGGGUAAAGGUGCCAAUUUGCCAGCAGGUUUCUGAAGUUCAUGUUUCGCUUGCUGGCAGACAGUGCACUGGCGCACGUAUUCCUCCACUGCCGUUUUCAAGCCCUUCCACGCAAAGCAUUUCUUGAUGCGGUGGUAAGUUGCGGAUGCACCAGAGUGGCAGCCCACUGCACUAUCGUGCAUAGCACUGAUCAGCUUAGUGCGCAGGGCGGUGUUGUUGCCAAUCCAGAGGCGCCCAUGGUGGCGAAUCAGUCCACGGUACAGCUCGAAUCCAUCAUCAUCCGGGCUGUGCAGGGCGAGUUGUUGCAGCAAGUCUUGAGCGUCUUGGUCUGUCUCGUAAGAAUUUGCCACUUCCUAUACCCAGGCUGGUUGACCGAGAGAGAGAGCGGCCGCCUCAAAGUGUGUGCCGACGCGGGACAAGGCAUCAGCCGCGCCGUUGUCAACGCCGCGCUUGUAUUGGAAGUGGAACUGCAAGCCAACCAAUUUGGACAUUGCCCGGCGUUGUACAUCUGUUUCUAGUUGUUGAUUUCCCAAUGUGCACAAACUCUUGUGAUAUGUGAGAAUGGUAAAGGGGCCCCGUUGGAGGUACGAGCGCCACUUGUCCACUGCCAUCAUGACAGCGAGGAACUCCUUUUCAUAUGUCGACAAUUUCUGGUUCUUGAUGCCUAAAGCUUUGCUAUAGUAGGCAAUUGGAUGGCCUUCUUGAACAAGAAUGGCAUCGAUGCCCGUGUCGCAUGCGUCAGUCUCGAUCGAGAACGGCUUGUCGAAGUUGGGCAGAGCAAGAAUGGGUGUGGUCACCAUGGCCUGCUUGAGGGUGUCAAACGCGAGUUGCGCCUGCUCUGUCCACUGAAACCCCUUCUUAGUGAGUUGCUGGGUCAGAGGCUUGGCAAUUAUCCCAUAGUGUGGGACGAAUUUGUGAUAAUAGCCCGUGAGACCCAAGAAUCCUUGGAGCUCAGUAGUGUUUGUUGGUGUGGGCCAGUUCAUCAUGGCUUCUGUCUUGUCGCUGUCCGUUGUCACCCCAUCCUUGGAGAUGACAUGCCCAAGGUAAUCAAUGUGAUCCUGAGCGAACGAGCAUUUGGAAAGCUUGGCAUAUAAUUGAUGCUCCCGAAGAAUCUCCAGGACUAUUCGUAGAUGUUGCACAUGCUCCUCUAGUGUCUCACUGAAAACCAGGAUGUCGUCAAGGAAGAUGAUCACAAACUUGCGUAUGUGUGCUUCGAAGAUCGCAUUCAUGAGGCACUGGAAGGUUGCCGGGGCGCUGGGCAGCCCAAAUGGCAUGACACGAAAUUGGAAAUGGCCAUGGUGAGUCUUGAACGUUGUCUUGGCUUCAUUUGCCUCCAGCAUCUGUAUUUGAUGAUAACCAGAGCGGAGAUACAGCUUGGAGAAAUAUGCGGCACCUGCCAGUUCAUCGAGUAACUCGUCCACGGUCGGCAACGAAAAUUUGUUCUUGAUGGUGCUGUUGUUGAGCCACCGGUAGUCUACACAGAAGCACCACGUACCGUCCUUCUUUUUGACGAGGAGGACCGGUGCCGCAUAGGGGCUGACACUGUGCGUGAUCACCCCCGAGUCCAGCAUCUCACGAACCUGCUUCUCAAUCUCAUCCUUUUGCACCGGCGAGUACCGGUACGGCCGCGUGUUUGCGGGGCGCACGCCGUCCACCAGGGUGACGACAUGGUCGUAUUGACGGUGUGGUGGUAGUCCCUUGGGCGCGGCAAAGACAUCGGCGAACUCGUCGAGCAGGUCACUGAUCGGUGUCAACGAGGGUGUGCGUCGCUUGACCUUAGCUGGGCGCGCGUCCAUCAGAGCCAUAGCCCACACAUCGUUGCCUGCAAUAAUCUUGCUCAACUCUUCAGGCUCAAUGGCUGUAAUAGUUGGUUGCUCUUUGGGACGAACCCCCUGUAAAGUGACUUGCUCUCCGUCGUGGACGAAGGUGACAUGCUUUUCCUGCUAGUGACACAUCAUUGGAUUGUAUUGGGCAAGCCAGUCCAUGCCCAAAAUUCCGUCGUAGGCCCCUAUUUCCAGCUCGCGCAUUGGCUCGAAAAGGUGUGCCCCUGCAUCCCCCAUUUGAGAUCUGGGACUAGGCGAGAGCUGAUCAGGCGAUCCCCAUUUGCUACCUGCACUUCCACGACUGGCAUUUCCUGAGUAACGUCGCCCACUCGUUCCAUGAAUGCCUUGUUCACAAAACUGUGUGUGCUCCCAGAGUCGAGCAGCAGCAACAUUACUUGAUUACCCACUAGAGCACGAAGACGGAUGGUGGGGGGGGGGUGUCGGAAUCGUCCAGAGCGUGCGCUGAGAGCAUGCAACACUCCGGCUGUGGUGCAGCAGCCACUGGUUCGUCCAGGAGUUCCAAUGCAUGGAUGGCAUCAUCGGAGAGGAGUUCCCCAUAGUUGCCCACUUGAAUUGUGAGAAGCUGGGCCUGAGUGUUGCACCGAUGCUCCCUGGAGUAGCGGUCACCGCAUUUGAAACACAGUCCGUUUGCGUGCCGGAAGUCCUUGAGCUGACGUUCCCGAGCAAACUCGUCGCCCUGGGGCCGUGCCGUGGGCACCGGGCGUGGUGGUGCAGGAACUGGGAGUGGCGGUGGUCGGCCUGCAGGUGUUGGGCGUGGGCGCGCUCUCGGCAUACCCAACUCGUCCUCCUGAAUUCGAGCCAAAAUGGAUGCCCGGGUGAUACUGGUGGGUGACUGGAGACGGACAGCCGCUCGAAUCUCGUCCUUGAGCCCCAGGAGGAACUGGGUGAUGAAAAAUUUGGGACUCAAAGAUGGAUCCAGUGCCAAGAGAUGGUAAAUGUGGGUGUCAAACAUCUGCCUGUACUCUGCCACAGUGCUGUUCUGGCGCAAUUGAAGUAAUUUGUGCAUCUCGAGCUCGAAUUCAUCGACACCAAACUCCUCUGUAAUCGUUGCGCAAAAGGCUUCCCACGUCAACCCUUGGUGGACUUGGCAAAAUGCCUGAAGCCAGUGUGCCGCCUGCCCUUCAAUGUACAAGGUAGUCGUGGUCACCCAGCUGUGUGCAGGCACUCUGUAUAGAUCGAAGUAAGCACGACAACGGUCCAACCAGAGAUAAGGUGCACUGCCAUCGAAACGAGGGAAGUCAUGUUUCGAUGGCUUGAUGUAGGUGUCGCAGGCUUGCCGAGGAUGGUGAUUGAAGUCUGGCUGCUGUUGGGGAUGAGGCGCCAUCACCCCCAUGUGUGCCUGGGUGACGGCUGGCGCGGGCGCGGGUGAUUGAACCAGCAGGGGUGGGCGCUCGUCGGCCAGACGAGGAGAAAGCGGUGGGCCUUGGUGAUGCGGCGCAGGCGCGGGACGCAGUGGCGGCGGUGGCGGCGGGUUGAAAACCGCGCCGGAUCCGCGCGGAGACGGGGAGCACUCCAUGGACUUGCGUGCUUCAUCGACAUCAGCCUGCGUAAGGUCGAUCCGUUUGCUGAGGUUGCGCACAUCCUGGGAUACCUGGGUGUUGAAGGCGACCUGGGCCUCGAGCCGUUUGUCGCUGUCGAGUUUCUGUUCGUCGAGGCGCGUGACGAUCGAUUUCAGGAGGGACUUAAGGGUGUUGGUGUUGUCGUCCAUGGCGGACAGGAGCUGCCGGGUCUGCGCGGAGGGCUUCGACGGCGCCGUCGCUCUCGCUCCGAACCGAUCUAACCCCGCCGGGGAUUUUGGGUGGUCUCGCCGAGGCAAGUCCACGCCCGCGGCGGUGGGAUUUUACAGAUCAAGGUCAAGAGAGUUUGAGAGCAGCGGAGAAAAAUUUCCCGGAGGAAUCGAUGGCUCUGAUUACUAACUGUAACACCCCUGUCCAGAUCGAGAGGAUCGGAGUAGGCUUGGAGAGGGGAUCAGAGAGGUAGGUGGGAUACUUGGAGAAGAGGGUGAGCAACGAGAGAAAGAGGAUGAGUCAAUCAGUCCAUUUCAUACAGCCUGUCGAUCUCAGGAUCGCCUUCAGGGCUAAGUACAGACACGCCUGGCCCGUGGCCAACUCACACACGCACUCCUGACCCUGUGACCCACCGGUCAGCUACCACACUUUCUCCUACACGCUAGGGCCUGCUUGACAGUCACACCGUGGCUGGUGUGACAGCUUGAUCCACUAAUAAUCACGGAAGGCUCGCACACACAAAAUUGUGGGAUCAUGCACCUCCUACCUUAUUUGCAUGGGGCUAAGAAAACGUGAAGGAAAAAACAACAAAGAGGUGCACAAGGUCUCACACCGGACGUGUCAUGAGCUUCUGCCUCCCGGAGGACCCUGGCGCGUGCACGUUGCUGCUGCCGCCGGUGCGCCGUUCGUGGCCCCGACGGCUGGCUCCUAUACCUCCCAGUCGCCGCGCAGGAGCUCAUGACCACCUACUCCAUGUCCUGCCGCCAUGGUCACCACAUCGCCACUUGCCAGUCCCCUCAGUCCGGCCCGGGCUUUGCGGUCGCCGGUCUAGUCCCUAAAAAACAGGACUGCCAGGCUGGUCAGUCCGGUCUGGUCCAGCCCGCCAGCGGCCGGUCCAAACGGCGGCUCGGUCAAGGAUCGGACAGUGCCCACCCUAUAAGGGCUCAAGUUUGACUCAAAUUUGAAGACAUAGAAGUGUUGAGACCAUAAUGAUCAAAACAAAACCUGAGAACAGCAAAUAUAUGGAAGUGCAAUCCACUCUUUAGUUGCUGGAUUGCACAUGAUAGCGUCGGAUAUUUAUUUAUAGUGCGUAUCACAAUGAUAACAAAGAAGUAGGCCAUUGCUGCAGUCCUUAAGCUCUAAGGGAUGCCCACAACACGACACAAAGCUAAGUGUUAUAUUAAUAUCCCUAUCAUUUGAGGGAAGUCCCGCCAGAAGGAUGGGAGUGCCAUGCUCACCUUUUUGGUAGAGGAGACCGAUAGGAGUUCUUGGGAGCUUCCAGCGGUAGUGUGGAUCAGAUGAGAAGGCAAGCCAAGAUUUGGAGACACAUCUGAAAUGGCAAAAGGACUUCAGCGGCAGCCGAGACAGGAUCUCCAUCACCAGGUCAUCAGGUAGUACGGUUGUGGUCAUCCCCUAACAAGGUUAUCUCCUUUGAGUUUUUGUUGUUGUUGACAACACUCCUUUGAGGUUAUUUAGCUGAUGAAUGUAUAUCUACAUAAAAAGAGAAGAAAAUAAAUGAUAUAAAACUGAGAAGCUUAGUGUUUAUGCAGAACUACAAGAAGUAGUGAUACCCAUAAUUUAACGAUUAACCAGAAUGAGCAAAUUACUGGAUUGUAGCUGAGACCAGCACUUGAUAAUUGGUAAACAUUGACUCCAUGCUCGAAAUAUGGAUGCAUGAUUGUGGAUGCCAUUUGAACUGAAAUACUGUCCAAUUAUAUCACACUAAAAACCAUGACUAAAUUUUUAUUGAUGGUCCCCUUCUAACGAUAGCUUUUGCAGUUUUCACCCGAAUUUGUAAAUGAGGAUUGAGGAAAGUUUUGAAGCAUAUUUUCGUACGGGCUUAUGGCAUACGCUGCGUGUGAGUGGAUCACGGGGAUUCAUAGUUAUGUGCAAUUGUGCAAACAAUAAAAUUACUAAGUUUUUUCCAACGAUUGCUUCGCCAUCCAUUUCAUAACAGGCCAGCAACAAUGAAAACAUACUGCACGUGUUGCUUAAUGCGCCGUGAAACAAAAAGUUAUCUGGUAAAAAGGGAACGUAAUGUACCUUCAGGAUCUAUAAUCUCAGGGACCAACAAAAAAAAUCUAGUCAUGGUGCAAGGGCAAAUAUAUGUGCUAACUCGUGAGAUAAGCAAGGGCAGCAAAACAAGAAAUCAUCGUAUCCAUCCGAGCUGCAACUGACCAACGGAAACGAACUCAUCAGACAUCAGAUCAGGUAUAUGUUCCAAACCGCGACUUGCUUUCAUGGCACGAAAUCGAGGGGAAAUGCGGACUCACCAACUUGGGUGAGGGGAAUCCAGGGUGGGGAACGGGCCGUCAGCCGUGUUGAGAGUCAGGUUCCAUCUGCAUGAGCUCAUAUCAGAAACGACACAUGACAUGAGGAUAACAUUCGGCAUAAGCACCGAGGAGAGGAAAAUGCACGAUAGCUCACCGCGUAAUCGGCGGUCGUGGGCGAGCGUGAUCGGCCAGGCGGCAAGCUGGUGAUACAGAUGGACGUUGCCGGAAGCAGCGGUAGUGCCCGAGAAGGGUCUCGCCGCCGCUCCCUGGAGAAUGGGGAUUCGCCGCUACUUGGGAGAGACUACAUAGUGGGAAAAGCAACGAUCGUAUUUGGGCUGAGGCUUCUCACUAGGAUAAAAGCCUCUUGUUGGGCUGGGCCAAGACCCUCAUAUUCGAUUGUUUUUUUCUAGACAUUAGACGGCCUAUCGGCGAAACUGCACAAUAGAGGACCUUCAGGCUUCAGCAGCAACUGUGCAAGAUAUCAAGGGAAGAAUGCUUGAUUUUGCUUCGGUGGAUUUCAUCCAUGAGAAGCGGGAGUUGAAUCUUGAAGCUCAUAUAAAUUAUGUAAAGCAUCAACUACUUUAGCUUUUGGCAGCCAUGUUUGGCUUUCUGAUUUACCAGACAUCAUUUGUAUCCGUAAACUUAUUCCUAGCUAAAUAAAGUUGCUUGACCACUGAAAAGAAAAAUCAGGGAAACUGCACAAUAGUACAACCUCAUUCAAGUUCGAGUAUUUGUCAAGUCCACUAGUUCCCCGCAAAAAAAAGCCCAAUAGUACAAACUAGGGUUGGAAUUUGUUCCCCUCAGUUUUAAUCGUCUUGAAGUAGAAUCAGAUUCUUCACAAGUAAUUGAUUUCUUCACCUGACGGACACAAUUGUGGGAUACAGCCUUGGCAAUAUUUGUGGAGUGUGUGGAUACAGUGUCGAUGAUUGGAAAGUUCAUGUUUAAACAUUGUUUUCAAACAGCUAAUAACGCGGCUCAUGUGCUAGCGAACCAUAAAAUUUUGUAAUAAAAUUUAUUUUAUUUGGUUAGACAAGCCGCCUGAUUUUGUUAUCAGUGUGCUCGCAAACGAUGUAACCCUAUUUAAGUUUUAAUAAAGCUAGUCCUGAUGGCCUUAUCCUCAGAAAAGAAACUAAUAUUGCUAGAUUCACCUAAAAAAUAGUAUUGCUAGAUUUUCGCUUGAUUUAGCUCGAGGUCAUCACAUGUGUCCUUGCGAAACGGCCCACCGAAGCGAUUUGUUCUCGGUUUCCCUUCCAGUUUGGGUUUCUUAACUUUUUCAGUUUGCCCUUCGUACUAUCUAGGUUUUUCGCUUUUCCAUUCCACACGUGACACGGGUAAAAAAUAGACGCCAAAACUAUAGCCAAAAAUUGGCAUGCGUCACAACAAAAUUAGACUACAGCUACCAAAAAUCCCCCUUUUCACUUUCUUUUCCGAUUAUAUUUCUGGGAGAUGGAGUUUUAUGGGGUAAUUAUGGAUGGGGGCUUCCAAAAACUAUCAAAUGAUAGCUUUCAACUAAAAAACAAGUUUCAAUAAUAUUACGGUGCAUGCAGGCGCAAUUCUUGCUCGCCUCCGCCUCGUUAAAUUUUCAUAUACAUCUUGAGGGGGGUCAUAGGUCGAUGCGUGUGUUCUUCGUACAACGUGUUUAUCGUAAUAAUCGUGUGCUUCCGGCUUCGCUAGUACACGGCGCCUACGGUGUGAUUCCUACUCAGGCGAUCCUGGUUCAAAACUCUUCUCCCUUUGAUCUAAUCCUUGAAGUUCAAAAUGUGUCUCAUUUCCCUGCCAUUUCCUCCUGGAUGCUCAUGAUCAUCAUCAUCACAACAUCUUCGUUCGACUCCGACGAAUCUAAGGUAUCCUUUUGCAUUACUUCAUCAAGCUCCGUGUUUCCAUACUCCUCAUCCAAUGAACCAUCAGAAUCCAUCAUUUUCCUACAAAAGAAUCACAAAAGAACCGGUUGGCAAUUUUUAGAACACACAGAGAGCAAGGUACAGUCCGAGAAUAGCCGGACGUACCACGGUGGCGUCCUGGGCGGUGACGGAAGCCGAUGUGGUGAGAUGACCGGGGAGGAGAUAUUCUGCCAGUGAUGGCGGCGCUGAAGGGUCGGGACGAUAGUGGAGCUAGGGGAGGGCCAGGACAGACAAGGGAGAAGAGAGGUGAGGAAAAUGGCUCGUCCGACAAGGACAGGGAGGGGAGGGGGGAUUUGGUGGAAUUUAUGGUAGGUCUUGUUCUCAUAUCCGCCCCGGAUAUGGGCUGGAUAUGAGGGGUACCGGUCAGACCGGACGUAUAGGGCCGGUUUCAGGACGUCGUCUGGGUCAUGAUUUUACGACCGGUCACUCAGCGAGCAUAUAGGGGGGGCGUUUGGGGAGCCCAGCCGUAGAUGAUCUUAACAAUCUUGCACACAUUCAGGGUANNNNNNNNNNNNNNNNNNNNNNNNNNNNNNNNNNNNNNNNNNNNNNNNNNNNNNNNNNNNNNNNNNNNNNNNNNNNNNNNNNNNNNNNNNNNNNNNNNNNNNNNNNNNNNNNNNNNNNNNNNNNNNNNNNNNNNNNNNNNNNNNNNNNNNNNNNNNNNNNNNNNNNNNNNNNNNNNNNNNNNNNNNNNNNNNNNNNNNNNNNNNNNNNNNNNNNNNNNNNNNNNNNNNNNNNNNNNNNNNNNNNNNNNNNNNNNNNNNNNNNNNNNNNNNNNNNNNNNNNNNNNNNNNNNNNNNNNNNNNNNNNNNNNNNNNNNNNNNNNNNNNNNNNNNNNNNNNNNNNNNNNNNNNNNNNNNNNNNNNNNNNNNNNCCACACACCAAUAUGUGUGGCAGGGUGUUAUCUGCAACUGUGUCUGGUGAGAUUGGUUAGUUUGAGAGGCAAGAUGAACUGCAUGUCAUCAACUCCACUGAUCGGCAACGGCAGCUGCGGCUUUGCCGUUGGUGGCGGCACUUCCUUUUUUUUUUAGAAUCAGCUGCACUUCCUUUGUUGGUGGAAUUGUUGGUACAUGUACAUAGCGUGGAGAUGCUCCACGUUGACAUAGACGAUGGAUCAGUGGAAUGUCAGUAUGCUCAAGAAGCUGUGGUCACCAGCGAAUGGAUGAAGCAAGAGGAGGGCAUCCUUGCCUGCAAGCAGGGGCUCCGUAGGAACUUUGAAGGAGGAUACCAUGACCAAACUCCUUGGAUGGCCUCCAAACUGUAUGUACCUGAAGAACUCGUCGGCAAAGCACGCUAGCUGCUCGAAUCUCCGCACUGUCUCGACGAGGGAGAUCCUACUGGACUUCGCGAUGGCUGAAACAUUAACUCCUCUGGUAAAUCAACCUAACAUAUGAGAGCUGGCUGCUGCUAUGCCAAGAGACCGAAACCUGGCAAGAUUACAAGAGUUCUCCCAGCCAUUGUAUAGAAAGCUCACACUGCCUCACACAUCCUUUUAUCAAGAGAAAUGAGAAGUGCCAAUUAGAAGAAGAACACAACACAUAACGAAGCCAACAAUUCAGUACAUACAUAACAGCUGUUUGGCACAGCUAGCGCACAAAAGAUACCUAGAGAUUACAUCAUUCAUAGGGUAAAUAUUCUAACAUUUGUCUUGAGCUGCUUGAAGCACACAAGCUGGAAACUUGCCAUAGUAUGGCACAUAGAGUAGACUUCGAUAUAGGUUAACGAAGCUUGGAAUGUUUAGAAUCUGGCAGACUUUUCCAGUACUGAUGCUAUAUGAGAUGAUCUUAUUAUCAGCAAUUGUGUCAGCAAGGAUAACUAGCUCUCUCUCCAGGUCAAAUGCCAGGAUUUCAUAAUCAAAGUACCAUAAUCCUUCAUUGUUAGUACGGAGCAUUAUGUUCCUCCCAAAUACAUUGUUCAUAUUUAGACGAUGCUUCACCACCCACCUAUCAUAUCCUUCCAAACUCCAAAUUCGGAUCAUGCAACCAUCCAAUUCUUGUUGUGCAUAGCAUAAGACCCCAGAUGACUGCCAAAGACGCCCGUCAAAGCAAUAAAACCUCUCUGGUCCAUAUGGAAACCCUGGCAACUGAAUGGUCCUAUGAUUGAGCUGCUGUGUGCAUGUAUCAGGUGCAUCGAGUGCCAGAAGGUAAUGCCUCCAUAAGUGCUCCACAUACAACACCCCAUUUACAAAGAGUGAAUCACCAAAAAAUAUAUCUGAGGUUUCCCAUAGACAAUUAGACCAGGUCGAAUACUCAGAGAAGAAUACCGUAACUUCAGUGUCAAAUCCACCACUUGGACUUGACUCAAAUUUGAAGACAUAAAAGUAUUGAGACCACAAUGGAUCAAAACACAACUUGUAACUGGCAUAACAGACGGCUGGUCCAGGUUCAGUAUCUGGAAGUGACAUCCACUCUUGAGUUGCUGGAUUGCACACGAUGGCGUCGGAAAUUCCUUUCGAGGGCAUACCACCAUGAUAACAAAG
This 50309-nucleotide long non-coding RNA is filed under the name Triticum aestivum (bread wheat). RNAcentral describes it as "long non-coding RNA (TAES_LNC006343)". Lineage: Eukaryota; Viridiplantae; Streptophyta; Magnoliopsida; Poales; Poaceae. The record is from RNAcentral.